UUCGGAGGAGUUAGCGAAAUUCCAAUGUGUGCGGAUCGGCAAAAAAUGCGAAAUAACCCUUUAACCGUAAUUUUGACAGAUACGGCCGCACUGACUUUUUUGUAGAUCUUAUUGAGAUACAUAUGUGUGUCAAUUUUUGUGUCAAUAUGACAAAGCGUACAGGCGUGACAGUCAAUAGUGUGAAUUUCCACCUUAGGGGGCGCUAUGGAGCCAUUUUGCAUUUUAUUGUUUGGGCGACUUCAGAAUAUCGAAUUUUUCACCAGGCCCGGUCGUCCUGCCAAAUUUCAUGAGUUUUCGCCAGUGGGAAGUGGGCCAUUUUCCAGUUCAAAGGGGAGGAAAAAGAAGAAACUAGGACCCCGUUGGGGCACUGGCGGGCCCGAGCCGUGUCGCGUCCCCCCAACGUGCUGCCUCCCCGUCCCAUUUGUGUCCUCUGGCCAUCGCCCUCUCUGGUAACGCCCAUCACUGCAAAGACCCUUUUCCUUCAUCGGCGUUUGCUGUUCUUCCUGCCAGUGCGUGUUGCUUUCACUUACACUUGCCACAGCCAGCCUCGUGAGUGCCUAGCCUAUUGGAUAUCACUGUCACCUACACAGGACAGUCAUUACCUUUCUAUUAAUACUUUGUGUUUUAAUUUCACAUUAAUUUCCAUAUUGUAUAAACGACUGGAAAAAACUUGAGCCCCUGCCCCUGUAUAAUCAUGUGCAUGUCUCUGUUCUAGCUCCAAGGUGAAUCUUCACUGCUCAUGUUCUCCUCAGAAGCACUCACCUCACUCCCCUCAGGUUACUGUACACAUGCACCAACUGCCUGCUUCAGGUUUGGAUGGAGCUUCAUGGUUGUCUUUUGGAGAAAUGACCAGUCAAGUUGUGUUUGAAAUUUGAUUUUUUUCAGGGGCAAAAGGAGCCUCUGCAUUCUUGUCAAAUAUGUAAAUAGCAUGUUUUUGCAGGUGCUAAAAACCAGACUCUGAGUGUGUGUGUGUGUGUGUGUGUGUGCGUGUGUGUGUCUGUGUGUGCGUUCAAGUCACAUGACAUAUUUAACCGGAUGUAGCUGCAAGACGGAGCCUCGUUGACUCUCCGUUUCAACUUAUCUCAAAAGUGAGGACCUCAACCUAUAUACCAGUUUUUAAAUUGUGUUGGUAGGCCAAAUAAAACCAGAGUUAUGAUAAAUUAUGUCCGCGAUACUUUUUUUCUGCUUAUUUUGAUCACGUUCGGCGCUCAAUCGCGCUGUAUGAGACAGGAAAACAUAGCAUGCAGACAUUAGCGACAGCUCUUACAGGCGGAAAAGGCUUGCCAAAAGAAAAAAAAAACACACCACAACAUCUCUCCUAUUGGUGGAAAACUUCACCACAACAACCAAUCCAAAAUUAUAUGGUGACUGAUUGACAAGGGGCGGGCGCUUACGUUCUUCCUGCAACAUGAGAAGGGAGGGAGGGACUCUCAGCAGGGAUGCAGUCUGGGACACGUAGUUGCAAACCUAGCGACUUUGUUGUUAGAUUCAAUGACUUUUCAGACCCCCUAACGACUUUUUUUUAGAAAGAAAGGGACUUUUAUCGACUUCUUCUGGAGUUUAGAGACUCUGACAUGAAGCAGGCUUUCCUUACUGAGGAGUUAGCAACGCUGCUAAGGGUGCAGAGCCACACAUGCGCUCAGAGCUCUGCAUGGGAGACUGAAGCUGACAGAGCUGCAGCAGUUAGCAGGUUUCACCCUCAGAGACCACCAGGGGUUCAUGUUGAGGCAUUUUAAUUUUUUUUUUUUUUGUGCCAUAGACACUGUCAGCACAAUCUGCAGUUACACUAACAAAAAUGCUGCAAAAAACAAAGAAUUAUGGAAAAAUUACACAUGGACUGACAUACAGGAGGAUCUACACAAGUUUUUUACAUCAUGUUUUACAUCAUGCAUCAUUUACAUCAUGUUUUUUUGUAGUGGCAUAAAUAAAAAGUGACAUUUGUGAGACUAUACAGUGUUUUGUAAAUAAUUUUACAAAGAACGCCUGGGCCAUUGCCUGCAUUUUGAUGUAAAUAGAGGUAAAUCACUAUGUUCUUUGUUAAAAAUUUGCAUAUGUUUUGAAGUUUACAAUUUUUAUUUGAAGUUUAAGUUUUAAAAACAGUUCAUCACACAUAUUUGUGGUUUAAUUUCACAUUAAUUUCCAUAUUGUAUAAACGACUGGAAAAAACUUGAGCCCCUGCCCCUGUAUAAUCAUGUGCACGUCCCUGUUCUAGCUCCAAGGUGAAUCUUCACUGCUCAUGUUCUCCUCAGAAAUAGUCACCUCACUCCCCUCAGGUUACUGUACACAUGCACCAACUAUCUGCUUCAGGUUUGAAAUGGAGCUUCAUGGUUGUCUUUUGGAGAAAUGAACAGUCAAGUUGUGUUUGAAAUUUGAUUUUUUUCAGGGGCAAAAGGAAGCCUCUGCAUUCUUGUCAAAUAUGUAAACAGCAUGUUUUUGCAGGUGCUAAAAAACAGACUCUGAGUGUGUGUGUGUGUGUGUGUGUGUGUGUGUGUGUGUGUGUGUGUGUGUGUGUGUGUGUGUGUGUGUGUGUGUGUGUGUGUAUGUUGGCGUGUGUGUAUAUGUGUGUGUAUCCUGCAGUACUCUGUACUCCUGCAGUGGCCAAAAAGACUUUUAAGAAUGUGGAUUUUUGGGUCAUCUUUGGCGCCCCCUAGAACUGCAGUACUCUGUACUCCUGCAGUGGCCAAAAUGACUUUUAAGAAUGUGGAUUUUUGGGUCAUCUUUGGCGCCCCCUAGAACGUAAACCGUGGGGUGCAGCGUCAUGAUUUUUACAACUUUGAAUGGGCAUGGGGUGUAGAUUGCCCUGAGCAAAUUUGGUAUCGGUGGGACGAAAGCCUUAGGAGGAGAUAGCCACAUUCCAAUGUGUGCGAAUCGGCAAAAAAUGCGAAAUAGCCCUUUAACCGUACAUUAUACAGAUACGCGCUCUUUGACUUUUUCGUAGAUCUAAUUGAGAUACACAUGAUUGUCAAUUUUUGUGUCAAUAUGACAAAGCGUUCAGGGCGUGACACUCAACAAUGUGUAUUUUCAUGUAAGGGGACAAGAAAAAAUUGACUUUUUUCUCCUACCAUGGGGGGCGCUCUUUUGGGGAGUAAAAAUUCCUUCACAAAUGUGUUGAUGGCUGGACAUUGCAUCAUCCUAGAAAACUUGGAGGCCAGUGAGGACAAAAAUAAAAAGUUAUAAAACAUUUAAGAAUGUGGAUUUUUGGGUUAUUUUUGGCGCCCCCUAGAACCUAAACCAUGGGGUGCAGCAUCAUGAUUUGAAUAACUUUUAAUGGCCAUGGGGUGUAGAUUGGCCUGAGCAAAUAUGGUGCCGGUGGAACGAAAGCCUUCGGAGGAGUUAGCGAAAUUCCAAUGUGUGCGUAUCGGCAAAAAAUGCGGAAUAACCCUUUAACUAUACAUUUGACAGAUACGCGCGCAUGGACUUUUUUGUAGAUCUUAUUGAGUUACAUGUGUGUGUCAAUUUUUGUGUCAUUUUGACAAAGCGUAUAGGCGUGACACUCAACAAUGUGUAUUUUCACCUUAGGGGACAAGAAAAAAUGGACUUUUUUCUCCUGCCAUGGGGGGGCGCUCUUUUGGGGAGUAAAAAUUCCUUCACAAAUGUGUUGAUGGCUGGACAUUGCAUCAUCCUAGAAAACUUGGAGGCCAGUGAGGACAAAAAUAAAAAGUUAUAAGACUUUUAAAUAUGUGGAUUUUAGUGUUAUCUUUGGCGCCCCCUAGAACCUAAACCUUGGGGUGCAGCGUCAUGAUUUUGAUAACUUUUAAUGGCCACGGGGUGUAGAUUGGCCUGAGCAAAUGUGGUGCCGGUGGAACGAAAGCCUUCGGAGGAGUUAGCGAAAUUCCAAUGUGUGCGGAUCGGAAAAAAAUGCGAAAUAACCCUUUAACCGUACAUUUGACAGAUACGGCCGCACUGACUUUUUUGUAGAUCUUAUUGAGAUACAUAUGUGUGUCAAUUUUUGUGUCAAUAUGACAAAGCGUACAGGCGUGACAGUCAAUAGUGUGAAUUUCUACCUUAGGGGGCGCUAUGGAGCCAUUUUGCAUUUUAUUGUUUGGGCGACUUCAGAAUAUCAAAUUUUUCACCAGGCCCGGUCGUCCUGCCAAAUUUCAUGAGUUUUCGCCAGUGGGAAGUGGGCCAUUUUCCAGUUCAAAGGGGAGGAAAAAGAAAAAAGAAAGAAAGAAACAAAGAAAAACCACUUGGGGAAUAAUAGGGCCUACGCCCGGCUGCUCUGCAGCUGGCUCGGGCCCUAAGAAAGAAAGAACUAGGGCCCCGUUGGGGCACUGGCGGGCCCGAGCCGUGUCACGCCGCCCCCAGCGCGACCGCCUCCCCCACCCGAUCGCGUCACACUCAAGGUCCAAAGAUGGUGUGCGCACUUGUUUGUGGUCAUUUACCAUUAUAAUGAACGGGAGGCGCAGUUUCUACCAAAACGCUCGCUGCAGAAAAACUCCAUGUCCUAUUUGAAAAAAGUCUGGACCAUGAGUGAGGGCACAAACACAGCUAAGAUAUAUCCAAAUGGCAAGUUGCUCCUCCUUUCGCUUUUGCCGAGAGAGCAGUGCGUUUGAGCCAUUGAAUGAUGAACAGGAAAAACUUGACUUUAUUCUCCUGCCAUGGGGGGGCGCUCUUUUAAAGAGAAAAAACUCCUUCACAAAUGUGUUGAUGGCUGGACAUUGCAUCAUCCUAGAAAACAUGGAGGCCAGUGAGGACAAAAAUAAAAAGUUAUAAGACUUUUAAAUAUGUGGAUUUUAGGGUUAUAUUUGGCGCCCCCUAGAACCUAAACCGUGGGGUGCAGCGUCAUGAUUUGAAUAACUUUUAAUGGCCAUGGGGUGUAGAUUGGCCUGAGCAAAUGUGGUGCCGGUGGAACGAAAGCCUUCGGAGGAAUUAGCGAAAUUCCAAUGUGUGCGAAUCUGCAAAAAAUGCGAAAUAACCCUUUAACCGUACAUUUUACAGAUACGUGGCCAUUGACUUUUUCGAAGAUCUUAUUGAAAUACACGUGUAUGUAAAAUUUUGUGUCAAUACGAAAAAACAUACAGGCGUAGCACUCAACAAUGUGUAUUUUCACCUUAGUGGACAAGAAAAAAUUGACUUUCUUCUCCUGCCAUGGGGGGCGCUCUUUUGGCGAGUAAAAAUUCCUUCACAAAUGUGUUGAUGGCUGGACAUUGCAUCAUCCUAGAAAACUUGGAGGCCAGUGGGGACAAAAAUAAAAAGUUAUAAGACUUUUAAAUAUGUGGAUUUUACGGUUAUCUUUGGCUCCCCCUAGAACCUAAACCGUGGGGUGCAGCGUCAUGAUUUGAAUAACUUUUAAUGGCCAUGGGGUGUAGAUUGGCCUGAGCAAAUGUGGUGCCGGUGGAACGAAAGCCUUCGGAGGAGUUAGCGAAAUUCCAAUGUGUGCGGAUCGGCAAAAAAUGCGGAAUAACCCUUUAACCGUACAUUUGACAGAUACCCGCGCAUUGACUUUUUCGUAGAUCUUAUUGAGAUACAUGUGUGUGUCAAUUUUUGUGUCAUUUUGCCAAAGCGUACAGGUGUUACACUCAACAAUGUGUAUUUUCACCUUAGGGGACAAGAAAAAAUGGACUUUUUUCUCCUGCCAUGGGGGGGCGCUCUUUUGGGGAGUAAAAAUUCCUUCACAAAUGUGUUGAUGGCUGGACAUUGCAUCAUCCUAGAAAACUUGGAGGCCAGUGAGGGCAAAAAUAAAAAGUUAUAAGACUUUUAAAUAUGUGGAUCUUAGGGUUAUCUUUGGCGCCCCCUAGAACCUAAACCGUGGGGUGCAGCGUCAUGAUUUGAAUAACUUUUAAUGGCCAUGGGGUGUAGAUUGGCCUGAGCAAAUGUGGUGCCGGUGGAACGAAAGCCUUCGGAGGAGUUAGCGAAAUUCCAAUGUGUGCGGAUCGGCAAAAAAUGCGAAAUAACCCUUUAACCGUACAUUUGACAGAUACGCCCGCACUGACUUUUUUGUAGAUCUUAUUAAGAUACAUGUGUGUGUCAAUUUUUGUGUCAUUUUGACAAAGCGUACAGGCGUGACAGUGAAUAGUGUGAAUUUUCACCUUAGGGGGCGCUAUGGAGCCAUUUUGCAUUUUCUUGUUUGGGCGACUUCGGAAUAUCAAAUUUUUCACCAGGCCCGGUCGUCCUGCCAAAUUUCAUGAGUUUUCGCCAGUGGGAAGUGGGCCAUUUUCCAGUUCAAAGGGGAGGAAAAAUAAUAACUAGGGCCCCGUUGGGGCACUGGCGGGCCCGAGCUGUGUCGCGCCGCCCCCAACACGACCGCGUCACACUCAAGGUCCAAAGAUGGUGUUCGCACUUGUCUGUGGUCAUUUACCAUUAUAAUGAAUGGGAGGCGCAGUUUCUACCAAAACGCUCGCUGCAGACAAACUACAUGUCCUAUUUGAAAAAAGUCUGGACCAUGAGUGAGGGCACAAACACAGCUAGGAUAUAUCCAAAUGGCAGGUUGCUCCUCCUUACGGUGUUGCCUGGAGAGCGAUGCGAUUGAGCCAUUGAGCGAUGGGCAGGAAAAACUUGACUUUUUCUCCGGCCAUGGGGGGCGCUGUUUUGGGGAGUAAAAAUUCCUUCACAAAUGUGUUGAUGGCUAGACAUUGCAUCAUCCUAGAAAACUUGGAGGCCAGUGAGGACAAAAAUAAAAAGUUCUAAGACUUUUAAGAAUGUGGAUUUUUGGGUCCUCUUUGGCGCCCCCUAGAACGUAAACCAUGGGGUGCAGCGUCAUGAUUUUUACAACUUUUAAUGGCCAUGGGGUGUAGAUUGCUCUGAGCAAAUUUGUUGUCAGUGGGACGAAAUCCUUAGGAGGAGUCAGCCACAUUCCAAUGUGUGCGAAUCAGCAAAAAAUGCAAAAUAGCCCUUUAGCCGUACAGUUUACAGAUACGCGUGCAUUGACUUUUUCGUAGAUCUUAUUGAGAUACACGUGUGUGUCAAAUUUUUUGUCAAUAUGACAAAGCGUACAGGCGUGAAUCUCAACAAUGUGUAUUUUCACCUUAGGGGACAAGAAAAAAUUGACUUUUUUUUCCUGCCAUGGGGGGGCGCUCUUUUGGGGAGUAAAAAUUCCUUCACAAAUGUGUUGAUGGCUGGACAUUGCAUCAUCCUAGAAAACUUGGAGGCCAGUGAGGACAAAAAAAAAAAGUUAUAAAACUUUUAAGAAUGUGGAUUUUUGGGUUAUUUUUGGCGCCCCCUAGAACCUAAACCGUGGGGUGCAGCGUCAUGAUUUGUACAACUUUGAAUGGCCAUGGAGUGUAGAUUGGCCUGAGCAAAUGUGGUGCCGGUGGAACGAAAGCCUUCGGAGGAGUUAGCGAAAUUCCAAUGUGUGCAGAUCGGAAAAAAUGCGCAAUAACCCUUUAACCGUACAUUUGACAGAUACGCCCGCACUGACUUUUUUGUAGAUCUUAUUGAGAUACAUGUGUGUGUCAAUUUUUGUGUCAAUAUGACAAAGCGUACAGGCGUGACAGUCAAUAGUGUGAAUUUUCACCUUAGGGGGCGCUAUGGAGCCAUUUUGCAUUUUAUUGUUUGGGCGACUUCAGAAUAUCGAAUUUUUCACCAGGCCCGGUCGUCCUGCCAAAUUUCCUGAGUUUUCGCCAGUGGGAAGUGGGCCAUUUUCCAGUUUAAAGCGGAGGAAAAAUAAUAAUAACUAGGACCCCGUUGGGGCACUGGCGGGCCCGAGCCGUGUCGCGUCCCCCCCCAACGUGCUGCCUCCCCGUCCCAUUUGUGUCCUCUGGCCAUCGCCCUCUCUGGUAACGCCCAUCACUGCAAAGACCCUUUUCCUUCAUCGGCGUUUGCUGUUCUUCCUGCCAGUGCGUGUUGCUUUCACUUACACUUGCCACAGCCAGCCUCGUGAGUGCCUAGCCUAUUGGAUAUCACUGUCACCUACACAGGACAGUCAUUACCUUUCUAUUAAUACUUUGUGUUUUAAUUUCACAUUAAUUUCCAUAUUGUAUAAACGACUGGAAAAAACUUGAGCCCCUGCCCCUGUAUAAUCAUGUGCAUGUCUCUGUUCUAGCUCCAAGGUGAAUCUUCACUGCUCAUGUUCUCCUCAGAAGCACUCACCUCACUCCCCUCAGGUUACUGUACACAUGCACCAACUGCCUGCUUCAGGUUUGGAUGGAGCUUCAUGGUUGUCUUUUGGAGAAAUGACCAGUCAAGUUGUGUUUGAAAUUUGAUUUUUUUCAGGGGCAAAAGGAGCCUCUGCAUUCUUGUCAAAUAUGUAAAUAGCAUGUUUUUGCAGGUGCUAAAAACCAGACUCUGAGUGUGUGUGUGUGUGUGUGUGUGUGCGUGUGUGUGUCUGUGUGUGCGUUCAAGUCACAUGACAUAUUUAACCGGAUGUAGCUGCAAGACGGAGCCUCGUUGACUCUCCGUUUCAACUUAUCUCAAAAGUGAGGACCUCAACCUAUAUACCAGUUUUUAAAUUGUGUUGGUAGGCCAAAUAAAACCAGAGUUAUGAUAAAUUAUGUCCGCGAUACUUUUUUUCUGCUUAUUUUGAUCACGUUCGGCGCUCAAUCGCGCUGUAUGAGACAGGAAAACAUAGCAUGCAGACAUUAGCGACAGCUCUUACAGGCGGAAAAGGCUUGCCAAAAGAAAAAAAAAACACACCACAACAUCUCUCCUAUUGGUGGAAAACUUCACCACAACAACCAAUCCAAAAUUAUAUGGUGACUGAUUGACAAGGGGCGGGCGCUUACGUUCUUCCUGCAACAUGAGAAGGGAGGGAGGGACUCUCAGCAGGGAUGCAGUCUGGGACACGUAGUUGCAAACCUAGCGACUUUGUUGUUAGAUUCAAUGACUUUUCAGACCCCCUAACGACUUUUUUUUAGAAAGAAAGGGACUUUUAUCGACUUCUUCUGGAGUUUAGAGACUCUGACAUGAAGCAGGCUUUCCUUACUGAGGAGUUAGCAACGCUGCUAAGGGUGCAGAGCCACACAUGCGCUCAGAGCUCUGCAUGGGAGACUGAAGCUGACAGAGCUGCAGCAGUUAGCAGGUUUCACCCUCAGAGACCACCAGGGGUUCAUGUUGAGGCAUUUUAAUUUUUUUUUUUUUUGUGCCAUAGACACUGUCAGCACAAUCUGCAGUUACACUAACAAAAAUGCUGCAAAAAACAAAGAAUUAUGGAAAAAUUACACAUGGACUGACAUACAGGAGGAUCUACACAAGUUUUUUACAUCAUGUUUUACAUCAUGCAUCAUUUACAUCAUGUUUUUUUGUAGUGGCAUAAAUAAAAAGUGACAUUUGUGAGACUAUACAGUGUUUUGUAAAUAAUUUUACAAAGAACGCCUGGGCCAUUGCCUGCAUUUUGAUGUAAAUAGAGGUAAAUCACUAUGUUCUUUGUUAAAAAUUUGCAUAUGUUUUGAAGUUUACAAUUUUUAUUUGAAGUUUAAGUUUUAAAAACAGUUCAUCACACAUAUUUGUGGUUUAAUUUCACAUUAAUUUCCAUAUUGUAUAAACGACUGGAAAAAACUUGAGCCCCUGCCCCUGUAUAAUCAUGUGCACGUCCCUGUUCUAGCUCCAAGGUGAAUCUUCACUGCUCAUGUUCUCCUCAGAAAUAGUCACCUCACUCCCCUCAGGUUACUGUACACAUGCACCAACUAUCUGCUUCAGGUUUGAAAUGGAGCUUCAUGGUUGUCUUUUGGAGAAAUGAACAGUCAAGUUGUGUUUGAAAUUUGAUUUUUUUCAGGGGCAAAAGGAAGCCUCUGCAUUCUUGUCAAAUAUGUAAACAGCAUGUUUUUGCAGGUGCUAAAAAACAGACUCUGAGUGUGUGUGUGUGUGUGUGUGUGUGUGUGUGUGUGUGUGUGUGUGUGUGUGUGUGUGUGUGUGUGUGUGUGUAUGUGGGAGUGUGUGUAUAUGUGUGUGUAUCCUGCAGUACUCUGUACUCCAGCAGUGGCCAAAAAGACUUUUAAGAAUGUGGAUUUUUGGGUCAUCUUUGGCGCCCCCUAGAACUGCAGUACUCUGUACUCCUGCAGUGGCCAAAAUGACUUUUAAGAAUGUGGAUUUUUGGGUCAUCUUUGGCGCCCCCUAGAACGUAAACCGUGGGGUGCAGCGUCAUGAUUUUUACAACUUUGAAUGGGCAUGGGGUGUAGAUUGCCCUGAGCAAAUUUGGUAUCGGUGGGACGAAAGCCUUAGGAGGAGAUAGCCACAUUCCAAUGUGUGCGAAUCGGCAAAAAAUGCAAAAUAGCCCUUUAACCGUACAUUAUACAGAUACGCGCUCUUUGACUUUUUCGUAGAUCUAAUUGAGAUACACAUGAUUGUCAAUUUUUGUGUCAAUAUGACAAAGCGUUCAGGCGUGACACUCAACAAUGUGUAUUUUCAUGUAAGGGGACAAGAAAAAAUUGACUUUUUUCUCCUACCAUGGGGGGGCGCUCUUUUGGGGAGUAAAAAUUCCUUCACAAAUGUGUUGAUGGCUGGACAUUGCAUCAUCCUAGAAAACUUGGAGGCCAGUGAGGACAAAAAUAAAAAGUUAUAAAACAUUUAAGAAUGUGGAUUUUUGGGUUAUUUUUGGCGCCCCCUAGAACCUAAACCAUGGGGUGCAGCAUCAUGAUUUGAAUAACUUUUAAUGGCCAUGGGGUGUAGAUUGGCCUGAGCAAAUAUGGUGCCGGUGGAACGAAAGCCUUCGGAGGAGUUAGCGAAAUUCCAAUGUGUGCGUAUCGGCAAAAAAUGCGGAAUAACCCUUUAACUAUACAUUUGACAGAUACGCGCGCAUGGACUUUUUUGUAGAUCUUAUUGAGUUACAUGUGUGUGUCAAUUUUUGUGUCAUUUUGACAAAGCGUAUAGGCGUGACACUCAACAAUGUGUAUUUUCACCUUAGGGGACAAGAAAAAAUGGACUUUUUUCUCCUGCCAUGGGGGGGCGCUCUUUUGGGGAGUAAAAAUUCCUUCACAAAUGUGUUGAUGGCUGGACAUUGCAUCAUCCUAGAAAACUUGGAGGCCAGUGAGGACAAAAAUAAAAAGAUAUAAGACUUUUAAAUAUGUGGAUUUUAGUGUUAUCUUUGGCGCCCCCUAGAACCUAAACCUUGGGGUGCAGCGUCAUGAUUUUGAUAACUUUUAAUGGCCACGGGGUGUAGAUUGGCCUGAGCAAAUGUGGUGCCGGUGGAACGAAAGCCUUCGGAGGAGUUAGCGAAAUUCCAAUGUGUGCGGAUCGGAAAAAAAUGCGAAAUAACCCUUUAACCGUACAUUUGACAGAUACGGCCGCACUGACUUUUUUGUAGAUCUUAUUGAGAUACAUAUGUGUGUCAAUUUUUGUGUCAAUAUGACAAAGCGUACAGGCGUGACAGUCAAUAGUGUGAAUUUCUACCUUAGGGGGCGCUAUGGAGCCAUUUUGCAUUUUAUUGUUUGGGCGACUUCAGAAUAUCAAAUUUUUCACCAGGCCCGGUCGUCCUGCCAAAUUUCAUGAGUUUUCGCCAGUGGGAAGUGGGCCAUUUUCCAGUUCAAAGGGGAGGAAAAAGAAAAAAGAAAGAAAGAAACAAAGAAAAACCACUUGGGGAAUAAUAGGGCCUACGCCCGGCUGCUCUGCAGCUGGCUCGGGCCCUAAUAAUAAUAAUAACAAAAGAAGGAAACUACAGGAACAAGAGGGCUCUCGCAGCUGCUUAGCAGCUACGCUCGGGCCCUAACUAGGGCCCCGUUGGGGCACUGGCGGGCCCGAGCCGUGUCGCACCCCCCCCCCCCCAACGCGCUGCCUCCCCGUCCCAUUCGUGUCCUCUGGCCAUCGCCCUCUCUGGUAACGCCCAUCACAGCAAAGACCCUUUUCCUUCAUCGGCGUUUGCUGUUCUUCCUGCCAGUGCGUGUUGCUUUCACUUACACUUGCCACAGCCAGCCUCGUGAGUGCCUAGCAUAUUGGAUAUCACUGUCACCUACACAGGACAGUCAUACUUUGUUUUUUAAUUUCACAUUAAUUUCCAUAUUGUAUAAACGACUGGAAAAAACUUGAGCCCCUGCCCCUGUAUUAUCAUGUGCACGUCCCUGUUCUAGCUCCAAGGUGAAUCUUCACUGCUCAUGUUCUCCUCAGAAGCAGUCACCUCACUCCCCUCAGGUUACUGUACACAUGCACCAACUGCCUGCUUCAGGUUUGGAUGGAGCUUCAUGGUUGUCUUUUGGAGAAAUGAGCAGUCAAGUUGUGUUUGAAAUUUGAUUUUUUUCAGGGGCAAAAGGAAGCCUCUGCAUUCUUGUCAAAUAUGUAAAUAGCAUGUUUUUGCAGGUGCUAAAAAACAGACUCUGAGUGUGUGUGUGUGUGUGUGUGCGUGUGUGUGUGUGUGUCUGUGUGUGUGUGUGUGUGUGUGUAUCCUGCAGUACUCUGAGAAGAAUAAUAAGCAUAUUUCUGAGGUGAAUUUUGAAGAUUCAUCUGAGAGUUAGGUUUGAUUCGAUUCGAUUGACGCUCCCCAGCGUUCAAGUCACAUGACAUAUUUAACCGGAUGUAGUUGCAAGACGGAGCCUCGUUAACUCUCCGUUUCAACUUAUCUCAAAAGUGAGGACCUCAACCUAUAUACCAGUUUUUAAAUUGUGUUGAUAGGCCAAAUAAAACCAGAGUUAUGAUAAAUUAUGUCCGCAAUACUUUUUUUCUGCUUAUUUUGAUCACGUUCGGCGCUCGAUCGCGCUGUAUGAGACAGGAAAACAUAGCAUGCAGACAUUAGCGACAGGUCUUACAGGCGGAAAAGGCUUGCCAAAAGAAAAAAAAAACACACCACAACAUCUCUCCUAUUGGUGGAAAACUUCACCACAACAACCAAUCCAAAAUUAUAUGGUGACUGAAUGACAAGGUGCGGGCGCUUACGUUCUUCCUGCAACAUGAGAAGGGAGGGAGGGACUCUCAGCAGGGAUGCAGUCUGGGACACGUAGUUGCAAACCUAGCGACUUUGUUGUUAGAUUCAAUUACUUUUCAGACCCCCUAACGACUUUUUUUAGAAAGAAAGGGACUUUUAUCGACUUCUUCUGGAGUUUAGAGACUCUGACAUGAAGCAGGCUUUCCUUACUGAGGAGUUAGCAACGCUGAUAAGGGUGCAGAGCCACACAUGCGCUCCGAGCUCUGCAUGGGAGACUGAAGCUGACAGAGCUGCAGCAGUUAGCAGGUUUCACCCUCAGAGACCACCAGGGGUUCAUGUUGAGGCAUUUUCAGUUUUUGUUUUUUUUGCCAUAGACUGUCAGCACAAUCUGCAGUUACACUAACAAAAAUGCUGCAAAAAACAAAGAAUUAUGGAAAAAUUACACAUGGACUGACAUAGAGGAGGAUCUACACAAGUUUUUUACAUCAUGUUUUACAUCAUGCAUCAUUUACAUCAUGUUUUUUUGUAGUGGCAUAAAUAAAAAGUGACAUUUGUGAGACUAUACAGUGUUUUGUAAAUAAUUUUACAAAGAACGCCUGGGCCAUUGCCUGCAUUUUGAUGUAAAUAGAGGUAAAUUACUAUGUUCUUUGUUAAAAAUUUGCAUAUGUUUUGAAGUUUACAAUUUUUAUUUGAAGUUUAAGUUUUAAAAACAGUUCAUCACACAUAUUUGUGGUUUAAUUUCACAUUAAUUUCCAUAUUGUAUAAAUGACUGGAAAAAACUUGAGCCCCUGCCCCUGUAUAAUCAUGUGCACGUCCCUGUUCUAGCUCCAAGGUGAAUCUUCACUGCUCAUGUUCUCCUCAGAAAUAGUCACCUCACUCCCCUCAGGUUACUGUACACAUGCACCAACUAUCUGCUUCAGGUUUGGAUGGAGCUUCAUGGUUGUCUUUUGGAGAAAUGAACAGUCAAGUUGUGUUUGAAAUCUGAUUUUUUUCAGGGGCAAAAGGAAGCCUCUGCAUUCUUGUCAAAUAUGUAAACAGCAUGUUUUUGCAGGUGCUAAAAAACAGACUCUGAGUGUGUGUGUGUGUGUGUGUGUGUGUGUGUGUGUGUAUAUGUGUGUGUAUCCUGCAGUACUCUGUACUCCUGCAGUGGCCAAAAAGACUUUUAAGAAUGUGGAUUUUUGGGUCAUCUUUGGCGCCCCUAGAACUGCAGUACUCUGUACUCCUGCAGUGGCCAAAAUGACUUUUAAGAAUGUGGAUUUUUGGGUCAUCUUUGGCGCCCCCUAGAACGUAAACCGUGGGGUGCAGCGUCAUGAUUUUUACAACUUUGAAUGGGCAUGGGGUGUAGAUUGCCCUGAGCAAAUUUGGUAUCGGUGGGACGAAAGCCUUAGGAGGAGAUAGCCACAUUCCAAUGUGUGCGAAUCGGCAAAAAAUGCGAAAUAGCCCUUUAACCGUACAUUAUACAGAUACGCGCUCUUUGACUUUUUCGUAGAUCUAAUUGAGAUACACAUGAUUGUCAAUUUUUGUGUCAAUAUGACAAAGCGUUCAGGCGUGACACUCAACAAUGUGUAUUUUCAUGUAAGGGGACAAGAAAAAAUUGACUUUUUUCUCCUGCCAUGGGGGGGCGCUCUUUUGGGGAGUAAAAAUUCCUUCACAAAUGUGUUGAUGGCUGGACAUUGCAUCAUCCUAGAAAACUUGGAGGGCAGUGAGGACAAAAAUAAAAAGUUAUAAGACUUUUAAGAAUGUGGAUUUUUGGGUUAUCUUUGGCGCCCCCUAGAACGUAAACCGUGGGGUGCAGCGUCAUGAUUUGUACAACUUUUAAUGGCCAUGGGGGGUAGAUUGGCCUGCGCAAAUGUGGUGCCGGUCGAACGAAAGCCUUCGGAGGAGUUAGCGAAAUUCCAAUGUGUGCAGAUCUGCAAAAAAUGCAAAAUAACCCAUUAACCGUACAUUUGACAGAUACGCCCGCACUGACUUUUUUGUAGAUCUUAUUGAGAUACAUGUGUGUGUCAAUUUUUGUGUCAAUAUGACAAAGCGUACAGCCGUCAUGUGAAUUUUCACCUUAGGGGGCGCUAUGGAGCCAUUUUGCAUUUUAUUGUUUGGGCGACUUCAGAAUAUCGAAUUUUUCACCAGGCCCGGUCGUCCUGCCAAAUUUCCUGAGUUUUCGCCGGUGGGAAGUGGGCCAUUUUCCAGUUUAAAGCGGAGGAAAAAUAAUAACGAAAGAAGGAAACAUGCAGGAACAAGAGGGCUCUCGCAGCUGCUUAGCAGCUACGCUCGGGCCCUAACUAGGGCCCCGGUGGGGCACUGUCGGGCCCGAGCCGCGUCGCGCCGCCCCCAGCGCGACCGCCUCCCCCUCCCGAUCGCGUCACACUCAAGGUCCAAAGAUGGUGUGCGCACUUGUCUGUGGUCAUUUAUCAUUAUAAUGAAUGGGAGGCGCAGUUUCUACCAAAACACUCACUGCAGACAAACUACAUGUCCUAUUUGAAAAAAGUCUGGACCAUGAGUGAGGGCACAAACACAGCUAGGAUAUAUCCAAAUGGCAGGUUGCUCCUCCUCCUUUUUCGUAGAUCUUAUUGAGAUACAUGUGUGUGUCAAUUUUUGUGUCAUUUUGACAAAGCGUACAGGUGUCACACUCAACAAUGUGAAUUUUCACCUUAGGGGACAAGAAAAAAAUGACUUUUUUCUCCUGCCAUGGGGGGGCGCUCUUUUGGGGAGUAAAAAUUCCUUCACAAAUGUGUUGAUGGCUGGACAUUGCAUCAUCCUAGAAAACUUGGAGGCCAGUGAGGACAAAAAUAAAAAGUUAUAAGACUUUUAAAUAUGUGGAUUUUAGGGUUAUAUUUGGCGCCCCCUAGAACCUAGACCGUGGGGUGCAGCAUCAUAAUUUGAAUAACUUUUAAUGGCCAUGGGGUGUAGAUUGGCCUGAGCAAAUGUGGUGCCGGUGGAACGAAAGCCUUCGGAGGAGUUAGCGAAAUUCCAAUGUGUGCGUAUUGGCCAAAAAAUGCGGAAUAACCCUUUAACCGUACAUUUGACAGAUACGCGCGCAUAGACUUUUUUGUAGAUCUUAUUGAGAUACAUGUGUGUGUCAAUUUUUGUGUCAUUUUGCCAAAGCAUACAGGCGUGACACUCAACAAUGUGUAUUUUCACCUUAGGGGACAAGAAAAAAUGGACUUUUUUCUCCUGCCAUGGGGGGGCGCUCUUUUGGGGAGUAAAAAUUCCUUCACAGAUGUGUUGAUGGCUGGACAUUGCAUCAUCCUAGAAAACUUGGAGGCCAGUGAGGACAAAAAUAAAAAGUUAUAAGACUUUUAAAUAUGUGGAUUUUAGGGUUAUUUUUGGCGCCCCCUAGAACCUAAACCGUGGGGUGCAGCUUCAUGAUUUGAAUAACUUUUAAUGGCCAUGGGGUGUAGAUUGGCCUGAGCAAAUGUGUUGCCGGUGGAAUGAAAGCCUUCGGAGGAGUUAGCGAAAUUCCAAUGUGUGCGGAUCGGCAAAAAAUGCGAAAUUGCCCUUUAACCGUACAUUUUACAGAUACGCGCGCAUUGACUUUUUCGUAGAUCUUAUUGAGAUACACGUGAUUGUCAAAUUUUGUGUCAAUAUGACAAAACAUACAGGCGAAGCACUCAACAAUGUGUAUUUUCACCUUAGUGGACAAGAAAAAAUUGACUUUUUUCUCCUGCCAUGGGGGGGCGCUCUUUUGGGGAGUAAAAAUUCCUUCACAAAUGUGUUGAUGGCUGGACAUUGCAUCAUCCUAGAAAACUUAGAGGCCAGUGGGGACAAAAAUAAAAAGUUAUAAGACUUUUAAAUAUGUGGAUUUUAGGGUUAUCUUUGGCGCCCCCUAGAACCUAAACCGUGGGGUGCAGCGUCAUGAUUUGAAUAACUUUUAAUGGCCAUGGGGUGUAGAUUGACCUGAGCAAAUGUUGUGCCGAUGGAACGAAAGUCUUCAGAGGAGUUAGCGAAAUUCCGAUGUGUGUGGAUCGGCAAAAAAUGCGAAAUAACCCUUUAACCGUAAUUUUGACAGAUACGCCCGCACUGACUUUUUCGUAGAUCUUAUUGAGAUACAUGUGUGUGUCAAUUUUUGUGUCAUUUUGCCAAAGCGUAAAGGCGUGACAGUCAAUAGUGUGAAUUUUCACCUUAGGGGGCGCUAUGGAGCCAUUUUGCAUUUUAUUGUUUGGGCGACUUCAGAAUAUCGAAUUUUUCACCAGGCCCGGUCGUCCUGCCAAAUUUCAUGAGUUUUCGCCAGUGGGAAGUGGGCCAUUUUCCAGUUCAAAGGGGAGGAAAAAUAAUAACUAGGACCCCGUUGGGGCACUGGCGGGCCCGAGCCGUGUCGCGUCUCUCCCCCCCCCCCCCCCCCCAACGUGCUGCCUCCCCGUCCCAUUUGUGUCCUCUGGCCAUCGCCCUCUCUGUUAACGCCCAUCACUGCAAAGACCCUUUUCCUUCAUCGGCGUUUGCUGUUCUUCCUGCCAGUGCGUGUUGCUUUCACUUACACUUGCCACAGCCAGCCUCGUGAGUGCCUAGCCUAUUGGAUAUCACUGUCACCUACACAGGACAGUCAUUACCUUUCUAUUAAUACUUUGUGUUUUAAUUUCACAUUAAUUUCCAUAUUGUAUAAACGACUGGAAAAAACUUGAGCCCCUGCCCCUGUAUAAUCAUGUGCACGUCUCUGUUCUAGCUCUAAGGUAAAUCUUCACUGCUCAUGUUCUCCUCAGAAGCACUCACCUCACUCCCCUCAGGUUACUGUACACAUGCACCAACUGCCUGCUUCAGGUUUGGAUGGAGCUUCAUGGUUGUCUUUUGGAGAAAUGACCAGUCAAGUUGUGUUUGAAAUUUGAUUUUUUUCAGGGGCAAAAGGAGCCUCUGCAUUCUUGUCACAUAUGUAAAUAGCAUGUUUUUGCAGGUGCUACAAACCAGACUCUGAGUGUGUGUGUGUGCGUGUGUGUGUGUGUCUGUGUGUGUGUGUGUGUGUGCGUUCAAGUCACAUGACAUAUUUAACCGGAUGUAGCUGCAAGACGGAGCCUCGUUGACUCUCCGUUUCAAUUUAUCUCAAAAGUGAGGACCUCAACCUAUAUACCAGUUUUUAAAUUGUGUUGAUAGGCCAAAUAAAACCAGAGUUAUGAUAAAUUAUGUCCGCGAUACUUGUUUUCUGCUUAUUUUGAUCACGUUCGGCGCUCGAUCGCGCUGUAUGAGACAGGAAAACAUAGCAUGCAGACAUUAGCGACAGGUCUUACAGGCGGAAAAGGCUUGCCAAAGGAAAAAAAAUACACACCACAACAUCUCUCCUAUUGGUGGAAAACUUCACCACAACAACCAAUCCAAAAUUAUAUGGUGACUGAUUGACAAGGGGCGGGAACUUACGUUCUUCCUGCAAUAUGAGAAGGGAGGGAGGGACUCUCAGCAGGGAUGCAGUCUGGGACACGUAGUUGCAAACCUAGCGACUUUGUUGUUAGAUUCAAUGACUUUUCAGACCCCCUAACGACUUUUUUUUAGAAAGAAAGUGACUUUUAUCGACUUCUUCUGGAGUUUAGAGACUCUGACAUGAAGCAGGCUUUCCUUACUGAGGAGUUAGCAACGCUGCUAAGGGUGCAGAGCCACACAUGCGCUCCGAGCUCUGCAUGGGAGACUGAAGCUGACAGAGCUGCAGCAGUUAGCAGGUUUCACCCUCAGAGACCACCAGGGGUUCAUGUUGAGGCAUUUUCAGUUUUUUUUUUUUUUUUUUUUGCCAUAGACACUGUCAGCACAAUCUGCAGUUACACUAACAAAAAUGCUGCAAAAAACAAAGAAUUAUGGAAAAAUUACACAUGGACUAACAUAGAGGAGGAUCUACACAAGUUUUUUACAUCAUGUUUUACAUCAUGCAUCAUUUACAUCAUGUUUUUUUGUAGUGGCAUAAAUAAAAAGUGACAUUUGUGAGACUAUACAGUGUUUUGUAAAUAAUUUUACAAAGAACACCUGGGCCAUUGCCUGCAUUUUGAUGUAAAUAGAGGUAAAUUACUAUGUUCUUUGUUAAAAAUUUGCAUAUGUUUUGAAGUUUACAAUUUUUAUUUGAAGUUUAAGUUUUAAAAACAGUUCAUCACACAUAUUUGUGGUUUUCACAGUAAAAACGUUACUUUUUUCCACUCGGAUUUUAUGUUUUGUGUGUGAAUUUGGGUCCAUUGUGUAAAUAUAGUAUGUCAAAAUGAUAAAAUAACUGUAAAUUGACACAGGUGAGGUUGUGCUGAAAAAAAUGAUACCAGGCAAGGCAAGGUAAAAAUUUUGUAAGAGGAAAUAUAAAGGUAAAAUCUAAAGUAGUCAAAAACGGCCAAUAGUGACUCACAGACUCCACAGACAAGUCCCUUUGGCGCCACUCAGUGGGCAAAACUACUUUGUCUACUGUAAUGUAUAUUUGGGUCAUCUUUGGCGCCCCCUAAAACGUAAACCGUGGGGUGCAGCGUCAUGAUUUUUACAACUUUGAAUGGCCAUGGAGUGUAGAUUGGCCUGAGCAAAUUUGGUGUCAGUGGGACGAAAGCCUUAGGAGGAGUUAGCGAAAUUCCAAUGUGUGCGAAUCGGCAAAAAAUGCAAAAUAGCCCUUUUACCGUACAUUAUACAGAUACGCGCUCUUUGACUUUUUCAUAGAUCUAAUUGAGAUACAUGUGAUUGUCAAUUUUUGUGUCAUUUUGCCAAAGCGUACAGGCGUGACAGUCAACAAUGUGUAUUUUCACCUUAGGGGACAAGAAAAAAUGGACUUUUUUCUCCUGCCAUGGGGGGGCGCUCUUUCAGGGAGUAAAAAUUCCUUCACAAAUGUGUUGAUGGCUGGACAUAGCAUCAUCCUAGAAAACUUGGAGGCCAGUGAGGACAAAAAUAAAAAGUUAUAAGACUUUUAAAAAUGUGGAUUUUUGGGUCAUCUUUGGCGCCCCCUAAAACGUAAACCGUGGGGUGCAGCGUCAUGAUUUUUACAACUUUGAAUGGCCAUGGAGUGUAGAUUGGCCUGAGCAAAUUUGGUGUCAGUGGGACGAAAGCCUUAGGAGGAGUAAGCGAAAUUCCAAUGUGUGCGAAUCGGCAAAAAAUGCAAAAUAGCCCUUUUACCGUACAUUAUACAGAUACGCGCUCUUUGACUUUUUCGUAGAUCUAAUUGAGAUACACAUGAUUGUCAAUUUUUGUGUCAUUUCGCCAAAGCGUACAGGCGUGACAGUCAACAAUGUGUAUUUUCACCUUAGGGGACAAGAAAAAAUGGACUUUUUUCUCCUGCCAUGGGGGGGCGCUCUUUCAGGGAGUAAAAAUUUCUUCACAAAUGUGUUGAUGGCUGGACAUAGCAUCAUCCUAGAAAACUUGGAGGCCAGUGAGGACAAAAAUAAAAAGUUAUAAGACUUUUAAAAAUGUGGAUUUUUGGGUUAUCUUUGGCGCCCCCUAGAACCUAAACCGUGGGGUGCAGCGUCAUGAUUUGAAUAACUUUUAAUGGCCAUGGGGUGUAGAUUGGCCUGAGCAAAUGUGGUGCCGGUGGAACGAAAGCCUUCGGAGGAGUUAGCGAAAUUCCAAUGUGUGCGGAUCGGCAAAAAAUGCGAAAUAACCCUUUAACCGUACAUUUGACAGAUACGCCCGCACUGACUUUUUUGUAGAUCUUAUUGAGAUACAUGUGUGUGUCAAUUUUUGUGUCAUUUUGACAAAGCGUACAGGCGUGACAGUCAAUAGUGUGAAUUUUCACCUUAGGGGGCGCUAUGGAGCCAUUUUGCAUUUUCUUGUUUGGGCGACUUCGGAAUAUCAAAUUUUUCACCAGGCCCGGUCGUCCUGCCAAAUUUCAUGAGUUUUCGCCAGUGGGAAGUGGGCCAUUUUCCAGUUCAAAGGGGAGGAAAAAGAAGAAAGAAAGAAACAAAGAAAAACCACUUGGGGAAUAAUAGGGCUCUCGCAGCUGCUUAGCAGCUACGCUCGGGCCCUAAAAACAAACCACUAGGACCCCGUUGGGGCACUGGCGGGCCCGAGCCGUGUCGCGUCCCCCCCCCCCCCAACGUGCUGCCUCCCCGUCCCAUUUGUGUCCUCUGGCCAUCGCCCUCUCUGGUAACGCCCAUCACUGCAAAGACCCUUUUCCUUCAUCGGCGUUUGCUGUUCUUCCUGCCAGUGCGUGUUGCUUUCACUUACACUUGCCACAGCCAGCCUCGUGAGUGCCUAGCCUAUUGGAUAUCACUGUCACCUACACAGGACAGUCAUUACCUUUCUAUUAAUACUUUGUGUUUUAAUUUCACAUUAAUUUCCAUAUUGUAUAAACGACUGGAAAAAACUUGAGCCCCUGCCCCUGUAUAAUCAUGUGCAUGUCUCUGUUCUAGCUCCAAAGUGAAUCUUCACUGCUCAUGUUCUCCUCAGAAGCACUCACCUCACUCCCCUCAGGUUACUGUACACAUGCACCAACUGCCUGCUUCAGGUUUGGAUGGAGCUUCAUGGUUGUCUUUUGGAGAAAUGACCAGUCAAGUUGUGUUUGAAAUUUGAUUUUUUUCAGGGGCAAAAGGAGCCUCUGCAUUCUUGUCAAAUAUGUAAAUAGCAUGUUUUUGCAGGUGCUAAAAACCAGACUCUGAGUGUGUGUGUGUGUGUGUGUGUGUGUGUGUGUGUGUGUGUGUGUGUGUGUGUGUGUGUGUGCGUGUGUGUGUGUCUGUGUGUGCGUUCAAGUCACAUGACAUAUUUAACCGGAUGUAGCUGCAAGACGGAGCCUCGUUGACUCUCCGUUUCAACUUAUCUCAAAAGUGAGGACCUCAACCUAUAUACCAGUUUUUAAAUUGUGUUGAUAGGCCAAAUAAAACCAGAGUUAUGAUAAAUUAUGUCCGCGAUACUUUUUUUCUGCUUAUUUUGAUCACGUUCGGCGCUCGAUCGCGCUGUAUGAGACAGGAAAACAUAGCAUGCAGACAUUAGCGACAGGUCUUACAGGCGGAAAAGGCUUGCCAAAAGAAAAAAAAAACACACCACAACAUCUCUCCUAUUGGUGGAAAACUUCACCACAACAACCAAUCCAAAAUUAUAUGGUGACUGAUUGACAAGGGGCGGGCGCUUACGUUCUUCCUGCAACAUGAGAAGGGAGGGAGGGACUCUCAGCAGGGAUGCAGUCUGGGACACGUAGUUGCAAACCUAGCGACUUUGUUGUUAGAUUCAAUGACUUUUCAGACCCCCUAACGACUUUUUUUUAGAAAGAAAGGGACUUUUAUCGACUUCUUCUGGAGUUUAGAGACUCUGACAUGAAGCAGGCUUUCCUUACUGAGGAGUUAGCAACGCUGCUAAGGGUGCAGAGCCACACAUGCGCUCAGAGCUCUGCAUGGGAGACUGAAGCUGACAGAGCUGCAGCAGUUAGCAGGUUUCACCCUCAGAGACCACCAGGGGUUCAUGUUGAGGCAUUUUAAUUUUUUUUUUUUUUGUGCCAUAGACACUGUCAGCACAAUCUGCAGUUACACUAACAAAAAUGCUGCAAAAAACAAAGAAUUAUGGAAAAAUUACACAUGGACUGACAUAGAGGAGGAUCUACACAAGUUUUUUACAUCAUGUUUUACAUCAUGCAUCAUUUACAUCAUGUUUUUUUGUAGUGGCAUAAAUAAAAAGUGACAUUUGUGAGACUAUACAGUGUUUUGUAAAUAAUUUUACAAAGAACGCCUGGGCCAUUGCCUGCAUUUUGAUGAAAAUAGAGGUAAAUUAUUAUGUUCUUUGUUAAAAAUUUGCAUAUGUUUUGAAGUUUACAAUUUUUAUUUGAAGUUUAAGUUUUAAAAACAGUUCAUCACACAUAUUUGUGGUUUAAUUUCACAUUAAUUUCCAUAUUGUAUAAAUGACUGGAAAAAACUUGAGCCCCUGCCCCUGUAUAAUCAUGUGCACGUCCCUGUUCUAGCUCCAAGGUGAAUCUUCACUGCUCAUGUUCUCCUCAGAAAUAGUCACCUCACUCCCCUCAGGUUACUGUACACAUGCACCAACUAUCUGCUUCAGGUUUGAAAUGGAGCUUCAUGGUUGUCUUUUGGAGAAAUGAACAGUCAAGUUGUGUUUGAAAUUUGAUUUUUUUCAGGGGCAAAAGGAGCCUCUGCAUUCUUGUCAAAUAUGUAAACAGCAUGUUUUUGCAGGUGCUAAAAAACAGACUCUGAGUGUGUGUGUGUGUCUGUGUGUGUGUGUGUGUGUGUGUGUGUGUGUGUGUGUGUGUGUGUAUGUUGGCGUGUGUGUAUAUGUGUGUGUAUCCUGCAGUACUCUGUACUCCUGCAGUGGCCAAAAAGACUUUUAAGAAUGUGGAUUUUUGGGUCAUCUUUGGCGCCCCCUAGAACUGCAGUACUCUGUACUCCUGCAGUGGCCAAAAUGACUUUUAAGAAUGUGGAUUUUUGGGUCAUCUUUGGCGCCCCCUAGAACGUAAACCGUGGGGUGCAGCGUCAUGAUUUUUACAACUUUGAAUGGGCAUGGGGUGUAGAUUGCCCUGAGCAAAUUUGGUAUCGGUGGGACGAAAGCCUUAGGAGGAGAUAGCCACAUUCCAAUGUGUGCGAAUCGGCAAAAAAUGCAAAAUAGCCCUUUAACCGUACAUUAUACAGAUACGCGCUCUUUGACUUUUUCGUAGAUCUAAUUGAGAUACACAUGAUUGUUGAGUGUCACGCCUGAACGCUUUGUCAUAUUGACACAAAAAUUGACAAUGUGUAUUUUCAUGUAAGGGGACAAGAAAAAAUUGACUUUUUUCUCCUACCAUGGGGGGGCGCUCUUUUGGGGAGUAAAAAUUCCUUCACAAAUGUGUUGAUGGCUGGACAUUGCAUCAUCCUAGAAAACUUGGAGGCCAGUGAGGACAAAAAUAAAAAGUUAUGAAACAUUUAAGAAUGUGGAUUUUUGGGUUAUUUUUGGCGCCCCCUAGAACCUAAACCAUGGGGUGCAGCAUCAUGAUUUGAAUAACUUUUAAUGGCCAUGGGGUGUAGAUUGGCUUGAGCAAAUGUGGUGCCGGUGGAACGAAAGCCUUCGGAGGAGUUAGCGAAAUUCCAAUGUGUGCGUGUCGGCAAAUAAUGCGGAAUAACCCUUUAACUGUACAUUUGACAGAUACGCGCGCAUUGACUUUUUUGUAGAUCUUAUUGAGUUACAUGUGUGUGUCAAUUUUUGUGUCAUUUUGACAAAGCGUAUAGGCGUGACACUCAACAAUGUGUAUUUUCACCUUAGGGGACAAGAAAAAAUUGACUUUUUUCUCCUGCCAUGGGGGGGCGCUCUUUUGGGGAGUAAAAAUUCCUUCACAAAUGUGUUGAUGGCUGGACAUUGCAUCAUCCUAGAAAACUUGGAGGCCAGUGAGGACAAAAAUAAAAAGUUAUAAGACUUUUAAAUAUGUGGAUUUUAGGGUUAUCUUUGGCGCCCCCUAGAACCUAAACCUUGGGGUGCAGCGUCAUGAUUUUGAUAACUUUUAAUGGCCACGGGGUGUAGAUUGGCCUGAGCAAAUGUGGUGCCGGUGGAACGAAAGCCUUCGGAGGAGUUAGCGAAAUUCCAAUGUGUGCGGAUCGGCAAAAAAUGCGUAAUAACCCUUUAACCGUACAUUUGACAGAUACGCCCGCACCGACUUUUUUGUAGAUCUUAUUGAGAUACAUGUGUGUGUCAAUUUUUGUGUCAUUUUGACAAAGCGUACAGUCGUGACAGUGAAUAGUGUGAAUUUUCACCUUAGGGGGCGCUAUGGAGCCAUUUUGCAUUUUAUUGUUUUGGCGACUUCAGAAUAUCAAAUUUUUCACCAGGCCCGGUCGUCCUGCCAAAUUUCAUGAGUUUUCGCCAGUGGGAAGGGGGCCAUUUUCCAGUUCAAAGGGGAGGAAAAAGAAAAAAGAAAGAAAGAAACAAAGAAAAACCACUUGGGGAAUAAUAGGGCCUACGCCCGGCUGCUCUGCAGCUGGCUCGGGCCCUAAUAAUAACAAAAGAAGGAAACAUGCAGGAACAAGAGGGCUCUCGCAGCUGCUUAGCAGCUACGCUCGGGCCCUAACUAGGGCCCCGUUGGGGCACUGGCGGGCCCGAGCCGUGUCGCGCUGCCCCCCCCAACGCGCUGCCUCCCCGUCCCAUUCGCGUCCUCUGGCCAUCGUCCUCUCUGGUAACGCCCAUCACUGCAAAGACCCUUUCCUUCAUCGGCGUUUGCUGUUCUUCCUGCCAGUGCGUGUUGCUUUCACUUACACUUGCCACAGCCAGCCUCGUGAGUGCCUAGCCUAUUGGAUAUCACUGUCAUCUACACAGGACAGUCAUAACCUUUCUAUUAAUACUUUGUUUUUUAAUUUCACAUUAAUUUCCAUAUUGUAUAAAUGACUGGAAAAAACUUGAGCCCCUGCCCCUGUAUAAUCAUGUGCACGUCCCUGUUCUAGCUCCAAGGUGAAUCUUCACUGCUCAUGUUCUCCUCAGAAAUAGUCACCUCACUCCCCUCAGGUUACUGUACACAUGCACCAACUAUCUGCUUCAGGUUUGGAUGGAGCUUCAUGGUUGUCUUUUGGAGAAAUGACCAGUCAAGUUGUGUUUGAAAUUUGAUUUUUUUCAGGGGCAAAAGGAAGCCUCUGCAUUCUUGUCAAAUAUGUAAACAGCAUGUUUUUGCAGGUGCUAAAAAACAGACUCUGAGUGUGUGUGUGUGUGUGUGUGUGUGUGUGUGUGUGUGUGUGUGUGCGUGUGUGUACAUGUGUGUGUAUCCUGCAGUACUCUGUACUCCUGCAGUGGCCAAAAAGACUUUUAAGAAUGUGGAUUUUUGGGUCAUCUUUGGCGCCCCCUAGAACUGCAGUACUCUGUACUCCUGCAGUGGCCAAAAUGACUUUUAAGAAUGUGGAUUUUUGGGUCAUCUUUGGCGCCCCCUAGAACGUAAACCGUGGGGUGCAGCGUCAUGAUUUUUACAACUUUGAAUGGGCAUGGGGUGUAGAUUGCCCUGAGCAAAUUUGGUAUCAGUGGGACGAAAGCCUUAGGAGGAGAUAGCCACAUUCCAAUGUGUGCGAAUCGGCAAAAAAUGCGAAAUAGCCCUUUAACCGUACAUUAUACAGAUACGCGCUCUUUGACUUUUUCGUAGAUCUAAUUGAGAUACACAUGAUUGUCAAUUUUUGUGUCAAUAUGACAAAGCGUUCAGGCGUGACACUCAACAAUGUGUAUUUUCAUGUAAGGGGACAAGAAAAAAUUGACUUUUUUCUCCUGCCAUGGGGGGGCGCUCUUUUGGGGAGUAAAAAUUCCUUCACAAAUGUGUUGAUGGCUGGACAUUGCAUCAUCCUAGAAAACUUGGAGGGCAGUGAGGACAAAAAUAAAAAGUUAUAAGACUUUUAAGAAUGUGGAUUUUUGGGUUAUCUUUGGCGCCCCCUAGAACCUAAACCGUGGGGUGCAGCGUCAUGAUUUGUACAACUUUUAAUGGCCAUGGGGUGUAGACUGGCCUGAGCAAAUGUGGUGCCGGUGGAACGAAAGCCUUCGGAGGAGUUAGCGAAAUUCCAAUGUGUGCGGAUCGGCAAAAAAUGCGAAAUAACCCUUUAACCGUACAUUUGACAGAUACGCCCGCACUGACUUUUUUGUAGAUCUUAUUGAGAUACAUAUGUGUGUCAAUUUUUGUGUCAAUAUGACAAAACGUACAGACGUGACAGUCAACAAUGUGUAUUUUCACCUUAGGGGACAAGAAAAAAUGGACUUUUUUCUCCUGCCAUGGGGGGGCGCUCUUUUGGGGAGUAAAAAUUCCUUCACAAAUGUGUUACUGGCUGGACAUUGCAUCAUCCUAGAAAACUUGGAGGCCAGUGAGGACAAAAAUAAAAAGUUAUAAGACUUUUAAAUAUGUGGAUUUUAGUGUUAUCUUUGGCGCCCCCUAGAACCUAAACCUUGGGGUGCAGCGUCAUGAUUUUGAUAACUUUUAAUGGCCACGGGGUGUAGAUUGGCCUGAGCAAAUGUGGUGCCGGUGGAACGAAAGCCUUCGGAGGAGUUAGCGAAAUUCCAAUGUGUGCGGAUCGGCAAAAAAUGCGUAAUAACCCUUUAACCGUAAUUUUGACAGAUACGGCCGCACUGACUUUUUUGUACAUCUUAUUGAGAUACAUAUGUGUGUCAAUUUUUGUGUCAAUAUGACAAAGCGUACAGGCGUGACAGUCAAUAGUGUGAAUUUCCACCUUAGGGGGCGCUAUGUAGCCAUUUUGCAUUUUAUUGUUUGGGCGACUUCAGAAUAUCGAAUUUUUCACCAGGCCCGGUCGUCCUGCCAAAUCUCAUGAGUUUUCGCCAGUGGGAAGUGGGCCAUUUUCCAGUUCAAAGGGGAGGAAAAAGAAGAAAGAAAGAAAGAAAGAAACAAAGAAAAACCACUUGGGGAAUAAUAGGGCUCUCGCAGCUGCUUAGCAGCUACGCUCGGGCCCUAAGAAAGAAAGAAAGAAAGAAAGAAACAAAGAAAAACCACUUGGGGAAUAAUAGGGCUCUCGCAGCUGCUUAGCAGCUACGCUCGGGCCCUAAAGAAACAAAGAAAAACCACUUGGGGAAUAAUAGGGCUCUCGCAGCUGCUUAGCAGCUACGCUCGGGCCCUAAUAAUAAUAACACUAGGGCCCCGGUGGGGCACUGUCGGGCCCGAGCCGCGUCGCGCCGCCCCUAGUGCGACCGCCUCCCCCUCCCGAUCGCGUCACACUCAAGGUCCAAAGAUGGUGUGCGCACUUGUCUGUGGUCAUUUCCCAUUAUAAUGAAUGGGAGGCGCAGUUUCUACCAAAACACUCGCUGCAGACAAACUUCAUGUCCUAUUUGAAAAAAGUCUGGACCAUGAGUGAGGGCACAAACACAGCUAUGAUAUAUCGAAAUGGCAGGUUGCUCCUCCUUACGGUGUUGCCUGGAGAGCGAUGCGAUUGAGCCAUUGAGCAAUGGGCAGGGUUAACUUGACUUUUUCUCCUGCCUUGGGGGGGGAUGUGGAUUCCUUUAAGAAUGUGGAUUUUUGGGUCAUCUUUGGCGCCCCCUAGAACGUAAACCGUGGAGUGCAGCGUCAUGAUUUUUACAACUUUGAAUGGCCAUGGGGUGUAGAUUGGCCUGAGCAAAUUUGGUGUCAGUGGGACGAAAGCCUUAGGAGGAGUUAGCCACAUUCCAAUGUGUGCGAAUCGGCAAAAAAUGCAAAAUAGCCCUUUAACCGUACAUUUGACAGAUACGCGCGCAUUGACUUUUUUGUAGAUCUUAUUGAGAUACAUAUGUGUGUCAAUUUUUGUGUCAAUAUGAUAAAGCGUACAGGCGUGACAGUCAAUAGUGUGAAUUACCACCUUAGGGGACAAGAAAAAAUUGGACUUUUUUCUCCUGCCAUGGGGGGGCGCUCUUUUGGGGAGUAAAAAUUCCUUCACAAAUGUGUUGAUGGCUGGACAUUGCAUCAUCCUAGAAAACUUGGAGGCCAGUGAGGACAAAAAUAAAAAGUUAUAAGACUUUUAAAUAUGUGGAUUUUAGUGUUAUCUUUGGCGCCCCCUAGAACCUAAACCGUGGGGUGCAGCGUCAUGAUUUGAAUAACUUUUAAUGGCCAUGGGGUGUAGAUUGGCCUGAGCAAAUGUGGUGCCGGUGGAACGAAAGCCUUAGGAGGAGUUAGCGAAAUUCCAAUGUGUGCGGAUCGGCAAAAAAUGCGGAAUAACCCUUUAACCGUACAUUUGACAGAUACGCACGCAUUGACUUUUUCGUAGAUCUUAUUGAGAUACAUGUGUGUGUCAAUUUUUGUGUCAUUUUGCCAAAGCGUACACGCGUGACAGUCAAUAGUGUGAAUUUUCACCUUAGGGGGCGCUAUGGAGCCAUUUUGCAUUUUCUUGUUUGGGCGACUUCGGAAUAUCAAAUUUUUCACCAGGCCCGGUCGUCCUGCCAAAUUUCAUGAGUUUUCGCCAGUGGGAAGUGGGCCAUUUUCCAGUUCAAAGGGGAGGAAAAAUAAUAACUAGGACCCCGUUGGGGCACUGGCGGGCCCGAGCUGUGCCGCGUCCCCCCCCCAACGCGCUGCCUCCCCGUCCCAUUUGUGUCCUCUGGCCAUCGCCCUCUCUGGUAACGCCCAUCACUGCAAAGACCCUUUUCCUUCAUCGGCGUUUGCUGUUCUUCCUGCCAGUGCGUGUUGCUUUCACUUACACUUGCCACAGCCAGCCUCGUGAGUGCCUAGCCUAUUGGAUAUCACUGUCACCUACACAGGACAGUCAUUACCUUUCUAUUAAUACUUUGUUUUUUAAUUUCACAUUAAUUUCCAUAUUGUAUAAACAACUGGAAAAAACUUGAGCCCCUGCCCCUGUAUAAUCAUGUGCACGUCUCUGUUCUAGCUCUAAGGUGAAUCUUCACUGCUCAUGUUCUCCUCAGAAGCAGUCACCUCACUCCCCUCAGGUUACUGUGCACAUGCACCAACUGCCUGCUUCAGGUUUGGAUGGAGCUUCAUGGUUGUCUUUUGGAGAAAUGACCAGUCAAGUUGUGUUUGAAAUUUGAUUUUUUUCAGGGGCAAAAGGAGCCUCUGCAUUCUUGUCAAAUAUGUAAAUAGCAUGUUUUUGCAGGUGCUAAAAACCAGACUCUGAGUGUGUGUGUGUGUGUGUGUGCGUGUGUGUGUGUGUCUGUGUGUGCGUUCAAGUCACAUGACAUAUUUAACCGGAUGUAGCUGCAAGACGGAGCCUCGUUGACUCUCCGUUUCAACUUAUCUCAAAAGUGAGGACCUCAACCUAUAUACCAGUUUUUAAAUUGUGUUGAUAGGCCAAAUAAAACCAGAGUUAUGAUAAAUUAUGUCCGCGAUACUUGUUUUCUGCUUAUUUUGAUCACGUUCGGCGCUCGAUCGCGCUGUAUGAGACAGGAAAACAUAGCAUGCAGACAUUAGCGACAGGUCUUACAGGCGGAAAAGGCUUGCCAAAGGAAAAAAAAAAACACACCACAACAUCUCUCCUAUUGGUGGAAAACUUCACCACAACAACCAAUCCAAAAUUAUAUGGUGACUGAUUGACAAGGGGCGGGCGCUUACGUUCUUCCUGCAAUAUGAGAAGGGAGGGAGGGACUCUCAGCAGGGAUGCAGUCUGGGACACGUAGUUGCAAACCUAGCGACUUUGUUGUUAGAUUCAAUGACUUUUCAGACCCCCUAACGACUUUUUUUUUAGAAAGAAAGGGACUUUUAUCGACUUCUUCUGGAGUUUUGAGACUCUGACAUGAAGCAGGCUUUCCUUACUGAGGAGUUAGCAACGCUGCUAAGGGUGCAGAGCCACACAUGCGCUCCGAGCUCUGCAUGGGAGACUGAAGCUGACAGAGCUGCAGCAGUUAGCAGGUUUCACCCUCAGAGACCACCAGGGGUUCAUGUUGAGGCAUUUUCAGUUUUUUUUUUUUUUUUGCCAUAGACACUGUCAGCACAAUCUGCAGUUACACUAACAAAAAUGCUGCAAAAAACAAAGAAUUAUGGAAAAAUUACACAUGGACUAACAUAGAGGAGGAUCUACACAAGUUUUUUACAUCAUGUUUUACAUCAUGCAUCAUUUACAUCAUGUUUUUUUUGUAGUGGCAUAAAUAAAAAGUGACAUUUGUGAGACUAUACAGUGUUUUGUAAAUAAUUUUACAAAGAACACCUGAGCCAUUGCCUGCAUUUUGAUGUAAAUAGAGGUAAAUUACUAUGUUCUUUGUUAAAAAUUUGCAUAUGUUCUGAAGUUUACAAUUUUUAUUUGAAGUUUAAGUUUUAAAAACAGUUCAUCACACAUAUUUGUGGUUUUCACAGUAAAAACGUUACUUUUUUCCACUCGGAUUUUAUGUUUUGUGUGUGAAUUUGGGUCCAAUGUGUAAAUAUAGUAUGUCAAAAUGAUAAAAUAACUGUAAAUUGACACAGGUGAGGUUGUGCUGAAAAAAAUGAUACCAGGCAAGGCAAGGUAAAAAUUUUGUAAGAGGAAAUAUAAAGGUAAAAUCUAAAGUAGUCAAAAACGGCCAAUAGUGACUCACAGACUCCAUAGACAAGUCCCUUUGGCGCCACUCAGUGGGCAAAACUACUUUGUCUACUGUAAUGUAUAUUUGGGUCAUCUUUGGCGCCCCCUAAAACGUAAACCGUGGGGUGCAGCGUCAUGAUUUUUACAACUUUGAAUGGCCAUGGAGUGUAGAUUGGCCUGAGCAAAUUUGGUGUCAGUGGGACGAAAGCCUUAGGAGGAGUUAGCGAAAUUCCAAUGUGUGCGAAUCGGCAAAAAAUGCAAAAUAGCCCUUUUACCGUACAUUAUACAGAUACGCGCUCUUUGACUUUUUCGUAGAUCUAAUUGAGAUACACAUGAUUGUCAAUUUUUGUGUCAUUUUGCCAAAGCGUACAGGCGUGACAGUCAACAAUGUGUAUUUUCACCUUAGGGGACAAGAAAAAAUGGACUUUUUUCUCCUGCCAUGGGGGGGCGCUCUUUUAGGAAGUAAAAAUUCCUUCACAAAUGUGUUGAUGGCUGGACAUUGCAUCAUCCUAGAAAACUUGGAGGCCAGUGAGGACAAAAAUAAAAAGUUAUAAGACUUUUAAAAAUGUGGAUUUUUGGGUUAUCUUUGGCGCCCCCUAGAACGUAAACCGUAGGGUGCAGCGUCAUGAUUUGAAUAACUUUUAAUGGCCAUGGGGUGUAAUUUGGCCUGAGCAAAUGUGGUGCCGGUGGAACGAAAGCCUUCGGAGGAGUUAGCGAAAUUCCAAUGUGUGCGAAUCGGCAAAAAAUGCGGAAUAACCCUUUAACCGUACAUUAGACAGAUACGCGCGCAUGGACUUUUUUGUAGAUCUUAUUGAGAUACAUGUGUGUGUCAAUUUUUGUGUCAUUUUGACAAAGCGUACAGGCGUGACACUCAACAAUGUGUAUUUUCACCUUAGGGGACAAGAAAAAAUGGACUUUUUUCUCCUGCCAUGGGGGGGCGCUCUUUUGGGGAGUAAAAAUUCCUUCACAAAUGUGUUGAUGGCUGGACAUUGCAUCAUCCUAGAAAACUUGGAGGCCAGUGAGGGCAAAAAUAAAAAGUUAUAAGACUUUUAAAAAUGUGGAUUUUAGGGUUAUCUUUGGCGCCCCCUAGAACCUAAACCGUGGGGUGCAGCGUCAUGAUUUGAAUAACUUUUAAUGGCCAUGGGGUGUAGAUUGGCCUGAGCAAAUGUGGUGCCGGUGGAACGAAAGCCUUCGGAGGAGUUAGCGAAAUUCCAAUGUGUGCGGAUCGGCAAAAAAUGCGAAAUAACCCUUUAACCGUACAUUUGACAGAUACGCCCGCACUGACUUUUUUGUAGAUCUUAUUGAGAUACAUGUGUGUGUCAAUUUUUGUGUCAUUUUGACAAAGCGUACAGGCGUGACAGUCAAUAGUGUGAAUUUUCACCUUAGGGGGCGCUAUGGAGCCAUUUUGCAUUUUCUUGUUUGGGCGACUUCGGAAUAUCGAAUUUUUCACCAGGCCCGGUCGUCCUGCCAAAUUUCCUGAGUUUUCGCCAGUGGGAAGUGGGCCAUUUUCCAGUUCAAAGGGGAGGAAAAAGAAGAAAGAAAGAAAGAAAGAAACAAAGAAAAACCCCUUGGGGAAUAAUAGGGCUCUCGCAGCUGCUUAGCAGCUACGCUCGGGCCCUAACUAGGGCCCCGGUGGGGCACUGUCGGGCCCGAGCCGCAUCGCACCACCCCCAGCGCGACCGCCUCCACCUCCCGAUCGCGUCACACUCAAGGUCCAAAGAUGGUGUGCGCACUUGUCUGUGGUCAUUUCCCAUUAUAAUGAAUGGGAAGCGCAGUUUCUACCAAAACACUCGCUGCAGACAAACUACAUGUCCUAUUUGAAAAAAGUCUGGACCAUGAGUGAGGGCACAAACAUAGCUAGGAUAUAUCCAAACGGCAAGUUGCUCCUCGUUACGGUGUUGCCAGGAGAGCGAUGCGAUUGAGCCAUUGAGUGAUGGGCAGGAAAAACUUGACUGUUUCUCCUGCCAUGGGGGGUGGGGGAUGGGGGGGGAUGUGGAUUCUUUUAAGAAAGUGGAUAUUUGGGUCAUCUUUGGCGCCCCCUAGAACGUAAACCGUGGGGUGCAGCGUCAUGAUUUUUACAACUUUGAAUGGCCAUGGGGUGUAGAUUGGCCUGAGAAAAUUUGGUGUCAGUGGGACGAAAGCCUUAGGAGGAGUUUGCGACAUUCCAAUGUGUGCGAAUCGGCAAAAAAUGCAAAAUAGCCCUUUAACCGUACAUUUGACAGAUACGCGCGCAUUGACUUUUUCGUAGAUCUUAUUGAGAUACACGUGAUUGUCAAAUUUUGUGUCAAUAUGACAAAGCGUACAGGCGUGACACUCAACAAUGUAAAUUUUCACCUUAGGGGACAAGAAAAAAUGGACUUUUUUCUCCUGCCAUGGGGGGGCGCUCUUUUGGGGAGUAAAAAUUCCUUCACAAAUGUGUUGAUGGCUGGACAUUGCAUUAUCCUAGAGAACUUGGAGGCCAGUGAGGACAAAAAUAAAAAGUUAUAAGACUUUUAAAUAUGUGGAUUUUAUGGUUAUCUUUGGCGCCCCCUAGAACCUAAACCGUGGGGUGCAGCGUCAUGAUUUGUACAACUUUUAAUGGCCAUGGGGUGUAGAUUGGCCUGAGCAAAUGUGGUGCCGGUGGAACGAAAGCCUUCGGAGGAGUUAGCGAAAUUCCAAUGUGUGCGGAUCGGCAAAAAAUGCGCAAUAAUCCUUUAACCGUACAUUUGACAGAUACGCCCGCACUGACUUUUUUGUAGAUCUUAUUGAGAUACAUGUGUGUGUCAAUUUUUGUGUCAUUUUGACAAAGCGUACAGGCGUGACAGUCAAUAGUGUGAAUUUCCACCUUAGGGGGCGCUAUGGAGCCAUUUUGCAUUUUAUUGUUUGGGCGACUUCAGAAUAUCGAAUUUUUCACCAGGCCCGGUCGUCCUGCCAAAUUUCAUGAGUUUUCGCCAGUGGGAAGUGGGCCAUUUUCCAGUUUAAAGCGGAGGAAAAAUAAUAACUAGGGCCCCGUUGGGGCACUGGCGGGCCCGAGCCGUGUCACGCCGCCCCCAGCGCGACCGCCUCCCCCACCCGAUCGCGUCACACUCAAGGUCCAAAGAUGGUGUGCGCACUUGUUUGUGGUCAUUUACCAUUAUAAUGAACGGGAGGCGCAGUUUCUACCAAAGCGCUCGCUGCAGAAAAACUCCAUGUCCUAUUUGAAAAAAGUCUGGACCAUGAGUGAGGGCACAAACACAGCUAAGAUAUAUCCAAAUGGCAAGUUGCUCCUCCUUUCGCUUUUGCCGAGAGAGCAGUGCGUUUGAGCCAUUGAAUGAUGAACAGGAAAAACUUGACUUUAUUCUCCUGCCAUGGGGGGCGCUCUUUUAACGAGAAAAAACUCCUUCACAAAUGUGUUGAUGGCUGGACAUUGCAUCAUCCUAGAAAACAUGGAGGCCAGUGAGGACAAAAAUAAAAAGUUAUAAGACUUUUAAAUAUGUGGAUUUUAGGGUUAUCUUUGGCGCCCCCUAGAACCUAAACCGUGGGGUGCAGCGUCAUGAUUUGAAUAACUUUUAAUGGCCAUGGGGUGUAGAUUGGCCUGAGCAAAUGUGGUGCCGGUGGAACAAAAGCCUUCGGAGGAGUUAGCGAAAUUCCAAUGUGUGCGAAUCUGCAAAAAAUGCAAAAUAACCCUUUAACCGUACAUUUUACAGAUACGUGGCCAUUGACUUUUUCGAAGAUCUUAUUGAAAUACACGUGUAUGUAAAAUUUUGUGUCAAUACGACAAAACAUACAGGCGUAGCACUCAACAAUGUGUAUUUUCACCUUAGUGGACAAGAAAAAAUGGACUUUUUUCUCCUGCCAUGGGGGGGCGCUCUUUUGGGGAGUAAAAAUUCCUUCACAAAUGUGUUGAUGGCUGGACAUUGCAUCAUCCUAGAAAACUUGGAGGCCAGUGGGGACAAAAAUAAAAAGUUAUAAGACUUUUAAAUAUGUGGAUUUUACGGUUAUCUUUGGCGCCCCCUAGAACCUAAACCAUGGGGUGCAGCGUCAUGAUUUGAAUAACUUUUAAUGGCCAUGGGGUGUAGAUUGGCCUGAGCAAAUGUGGUGCCGGUGGAACGAAAGCCUUCGGAGGAGUUAGCGAAAUUCCAAUGUGUGCGGAUCGGCAAAAAAUGCGGAAUAACCCUUUAACCGUACAUGUAACAGAUACGUGCGCAUUGACUUUUUCGUAGAUCUUAUUGAGAUACAUGUGUGUGUCAAUUUUUGUGUCAUUUUGCCAAAGCGUACAGGUGUUACACUCAACAAUGUGUAUUUUCACCUUAGAGGACAAGAAAAAAUGGACUUUUUUCUCCUGCCAUGGGGGGGCGCUCUUUUGGGGAGUAAAAAUUCCUUCACAAAUGUGUUGAUGGCUGGACAUUGCAUCAUCCUAGAAAACUUGGAGGCCAAUGAGGGCAAAAAUAAAAAGUUAUAAGACUUUUAAAUAUGUGGAUCUUAGGGUUAUCUUUGGCGCCCCCUAGAACCUAAACCGUGGGGUGCAGCGUCAUGAUUUGAAUAACUUUUAAUGGCCAUGGGGUGUAGAUUGGCCUGAGCAAAUGUGGUGCCGGUGGAACGAAAGCCUUCGGAGGAGUUAGCGAAAUUCCAAUGUGUGCGGAUCGGCAAAAAAUGCGAAAUAACCCUUUAACCGUACAUUUGACAGAUACGCCCGCACUGACUUUUUUGUAGAUCUUAUUGAGAUACAUGUGUGUGUCAAUUUUUGUGUCAUUUUGACAAAGCGUACAGGCGUGACAGUGAAUAGUGUGAAUUUUCACCUUAGGGGGCGCUAUGGAGCCAUUUUGCAUUUUCUUGUUUGGGCGACUUCGGAAUAUCAAAUUUUUCACCAGGCCCGGUCGUCCUGCCAAAUUUCAUGAGUUUUUGCCAGUGGGAAGUGGGCCAUUUUCCAGUUCAAAGGGGAGGAAAAAUAAUAAUAACUAGGGCCCCGUUGGGGCACUGGCGGGCCCGAGCCGUGUCACGCCGCCCCCAGCACGACCGCCUCCCCCACCCGAUCGCGUCACACUCAAGGUCCAAAGAUGGUGUGCGCACUUGUUUGUGGUCAUUUACCAUUAUAAUGAACGGGAGGCGCAGUUUCUACCAAAACGCUCGCUGCAGAAAAACUCCAUGUCCUAUUUGAAAAAAGUCUGGACCAUGAGUGAGGGCACAAACCCAGCUAAGAUAUAUCCAAAUGGCAAGUUGCUGCUCCUUUCGCUUUUGCCGAGAGAGCAGUGCGUUUGAGCCAUUGAAUGAUGAACAGGAAAAACUUGACUUUAUUCUCCUGCCAUGGGGGGCGCUCUUUUAACGAGAAAAAACUCCUUCACAAAUGUGUUGAUGGCUGGACAUUGCAUCAUCCUAGAAAACAUGGAGGCCAGUGAGGACAAAAAUAAAAAGUUAUAAGACUUUUAAAUAUGUGGAUUUUAGGGUUAUCUUUGGCGCCCCCUAGAACCUAAACCGUGGGGUGCAGCGUCAUGAUUUGAAUAACUUUUAAUGGCCAUGGGGUGUAGAUUGGCCUGAGCAAAUGUGGUGCCGGUGGAACGAAAGCCUUCGGAGGAGUUAGCGAAAUUCCAAUGUGUGCGAAUCUGCAAAAAAUGCGAAAUAACCCUUUAACCGUACAUUUUACAGAUACGUGGCCAUUGACUUUUUCGAAGAUCUUAUUGAAAGACACGUGUAUGUAAAAUUUUGUGUCAAUACGACAAAACAUACAGGCGUAGCACUCAACAAUGUGUAUUUUCACCUUAGUGGACAAGAAAAAAUGGACUUUUUUCUCCUGCCAUGGGGGGCGCUCUUUUGGCGAGUAAAAAUUCCUUCACAAAUGUGUUGAUGGCUGGACAUUGCAUCAUCCUAGAAAACUUGGAGGCCAGUGGGGACAAAAAUAAAAAGUUAUAAGACUUUUAAAUAUGUGGAUUUUACGGUUAUCUUUGGCGCCCCCUAGAACCUAAACCGUGGGGUGCAGCGUCAUGAUUUGAAUAACUUUUAAUGGCCAUGGGGUGUAGAUUGGCCUGAGAAAAUGUGGUGCCGGUGGAACGAAAGCCUUCGGAGGAGUUAGCGAAAUUCCAAUGUGUGCGGAUCGGCAAAAAAUGCGAAAUAACCCUUUAACCGUACAUUUGACAGAUACGUGCGCAUUGACUUUUUUGUAGAUCUUAUUGAGAUACAUGUGUGUGUCAAUUUUGGUGUCAUUUUGCCAAAGCGUACAGGUGUUACACUCAACAAUGUGUAUUUUCACCUUAGGGGACAAGAAAAAAUGGACUUUUUUCUCCUGCCAUGGGGGGCGCUCUUUUGGGGAGUAAAAAUUCCUUCACAAAUGUGUUGAUGGCUGGACAUUGCAUCAUCCUAGAAAACUUGGAGGCCAGUGAGGGCAAAAAUAAAAAGUUAUAAGACUUUUAAAUAUGUGGAUCUUAGGGUUAUCUUUGGCGCCCCCUAGAACCUAAACCGUGGGGUGCAGCGUCAUGAUUUGAAUAACUUUUAAUGGCCAUGGGGUGUAGAUUGGCCUGAGCAAAUGUGGUGCCGGUGGAACGAAAGCCUUCGGAGGAGUUAGCGAAAUUCCAAUGUGUGCGGAUCAGCAAAAAAUGCGAAAUAACCCUUUAACCGUACAUUUGACAGAUACGCCCGCACUGACUUUUUUGUAGAUCUUAUUGAGAUACAUGUGUGUGUCAAUUUUUGUGUCAUUUUGACAAAGCGUACAGGCGUGACAGUCAAUAGUGUGAAUUUUCACCUUAGGGGGCGCUAUGGAGCCAUUUUGCAUUUUCUUGUUUGGGCGACUUCGGAAUAUCAAAUUUUUCACCAGGCCCGGUCGUCCUGCCAAAUUUCAUGAGUUUUCGCCAGUGGGAAGUGGGCCAUUUUCCAGUUCAAAGGGGAGGAAAAAGAAAAAAGAAACAAAGAAAAACCCCUUGGGGAAUAAUAGGGCUCUCGCAGCUGCUUAGCAGCUACGCUCGGGCCCUAAGAAAGAAAGAAAGAAAGAAAGAAAGAAACAAAGAAAAACCACUUGGGGAAUAAUAGGGCCUACGCCCGGCUGCUCUGCAGCUGGCUCGGGCCCUAAAAAUGCUGCAAAAAACAAAGAAUUAUGGAAAAAUUACACAUGGACUGACAUAGAGGAGGAUCUACACAAGUUUUUUACAUCAUGUUUUACAUCAUGCAUCAUUUACAUCAUGUUUUUUUGUAGUGGCAUAAAUAAAAAGUGACAUUUGUGAGACUAUACAGUGAUUUGUAAAUAAUUUUACAAAGAACGCCUGGGCCAUUGCCUGCAUUUUGAUGUAAAUAGAGGUAAAUUACUAUGUUCUUUGUUAAAAAUUUGCAUAUGUUUUGAAGUUUACAAUUUUUAUUUGAAGUUUAAGUUUUAAAAACAGUUCAUCACACAUAUUUGUGGUUUAAUUUCACAUUAAUUUCCAUAUUGUAUAAAUGACUGGAAAAAACUUGAGCCCCUGCCCCUGUAUAAUCAUGUGCACGUCCCUGUUCUAGCUCCAAGGUGAAUCUUCACUGCUCAUGUUCUCCUCAGAAAUAGUCACCUCACUCCCCUCAGGUUACUGUACACAUGCACCAACUAUCUGCUUCAGGUUUGAAAUGGAGCUUCAUGGUUGUCUUUUGGAGAAAUGACCAGUCAAGUUGUGUUUGAAAUUUGAUUUUUUUCAGGGGCAAAAGGAAGCCUCUGCAUUCUUGUCAAAUAUGUAAACAGCAUGUUGCAGGUGCUAAAAAACAGACUCUGAGUGUGUGUGUGUGUCUGUGUGUGUGUGUGUGUGUGUGUGUGUGUGUAUGUUGGCGUGUGUGUAUAUGUGUGUGUAUCCUGCAGUACUCUGUACUCCUGCAGUGGCCAAAAUGACUUUUAAGAAUGUGGAUUUUUGGGUCAUCUUUGGCGCCCCCUAGAACUGCAGUACUCUGUACUCCUGCAGUGGCCAAAAUGACUUUUAAGAAUGUGGAUUUUUGGGUCAUCUUUGGCGCCCCCUAGAACGUAAACCGUGGGGUGCAGCGUCAUGAUUUUUACAACUUUGAAUGGGCAUGGGGUGUAGAUUGCCCUGAGCAAAUUUGGUAUCGGUGGGACGAAAGCCUUAGGAGGAGAUAGCCACAUUCCAAUGUGUGCGAAUCGGCAAAAAAUGCAAAAUAGCCCUUUAACCGUACAUUAUACAGAUACGCGCUCUUUGACUUUUUCGUAGAUCUAAUUGAGAUACACAUGAUUGUCAAUUUUUGUGUCAAUAUGACAAAGCGUUCAGGCGUGACACUCAACAAUGUGUAUUUUUAUGUAAGGGGACAAGAAAAAAUCGACUUUUUUCCUCUACCAUGGGGGGCGCUCUUUUGGGGAGUAAAAAUUCCUUCACAAAUGUGUUGAUGGCUGGACAUUGCAUCAUCCUAGAAAACUUGGAGGCCAGUGAGGACAAAAAUAAAAAGUUAUAAAACAUUUAAGAAUGUGGAUUUUUGGGUUAUUUUUGGCGCCCCCUAGAACCUAAACCAUGGGGUGCAGCAUCAUGAUUUGAAUAACUUUUAAUGGCCAUGGGGUGUAGAUUGGCCUGAGCAAAUGUGGUGCCGGUGGAACGAAAGCCUUCGGAGGAGUUAGCGAAAUUCCAAUGUGUGCGUAUCGGCAAAAAAUGCGGAAUAACCCUUUAACUGUACAUUUGACAGAUACGCGCGCAUGGACUUUUUUGUAGAUCUUAUUGAGUUACAUGUGUGUGUCAAUUUUUGUGUCAUUUUGACAAAGCGUAUAGGCGUGACACUCAACAAUGUGUAUUUUCACCUUAGGGGACAAGAAAAAAUGGACUUUUUUCUCCUGCCAUGGGGGGGCGCUCUUUGGGGGAGUAAAAAUUCCUUCACAAAUGUGUUGAUGGCUGGACAUUGCAUCAUCCUAGAAAACUUGGAGGCCAGUGAGGACAAAAAUAAAAAGUUAUAAGACUUUUAAAUAUGUGGAUUUUAGUGUUAUCUUUGGCGCCCCCUAGAACCUAAACCUUGGGGUGCAGCGUCAUGAUUUUGAUAACUUUUAAUGGCCACGGGGUGUAGAUUGGCCUGAGCAAAUGUGGUGCCGGUGGAACGAAAGCCUUCGGAGGAGUUAGCGAAAUUCCAAUGUGUGCGGAUCGGCAAAAAAUGCGAAAUAACCCUUUAACCGUAAUUUUGACAGAUACGGCCGCACUGACUUUUUUGUAGAUCUUAUUGAGAUACAUAUGUGUGUCAAUUUUUGUGUCAAUAUGACAAAGCGUACAGGCGUGACAGUCAAUAGUGUGAAUUUCCACCUUAGGGGGCGCUAUGGAGCCAUUUUGCAUUUUAUUGUUUGGACGACUUCAGAAUAUCGAAUUUUUCACCAGGCCCGGUCGUCCUGCCAAAUUUCAUGAGUUUUCGCCAGUGGGAAGUGGGCCAUUUUCCAGUUCAAAGGGGAGGAAAAAGAAGAAAGAAAGAAAGAAAGAAAGAAACAAAGAAAAACCACUUGGGGAAUAAUAGGGCCUACGCCCGGCUGCUCUGCAGCUGGCUCGGGCCCUAAUAAUAAUAACUAGGACCCCGUUGGGGCACUGGCGGGCCCGAGCUGUGUCGCGUCCCCCCCCCAACGCGCUGCCUCCCCGUCCCAUUUGUGUCCUCUGGCCAUCGCCCUCUCUGGUAACGCCCAUCACUGCAAAGACCCUUUUCCUUCAUCGGCGUUUGCUGUUCUUCCUGCCAGUGCGUGUUGCUUUCACUUACACUUGCCACAGCCAGCCUCUUGAGUGCCUAGCCUAUUGGAUAUCACUGUCACCUACUCAGGACAGUCAUUACCUUUCUAUUAAUACUUUGUUUUUUAAUUUCACAUUAAUUUCCAUAUUGUAUAAACAACUGGAAAAAACUUGAGCCCCUGCCCCUGUAUAAUCAUGUGCACGUCUCUGUUCUAGCUGUAAGGUGAAUCUUCACUGCUCAUGUUCUCCUCAGAAGCAGUCACCUCACUCCCCUCAGGUUACUGUACACAUGCACCAACUGCCUGCUUCAGGUUUGGAUGGAGCUUCAUGGUUGUCUUUUGGAGAAAUGACCAGUCAAGUUGUGUUUGAAAUUUGAUUUUUUUCAGGGGCAAAAGGAGCCUCUGCAUUCUUGUCAAAUAUGUAAAUAGCAUGUUUUUGCAGGUGCUAAAAACCAGACUCUGAGUGUGUGUGUGUGUGUGUGUGUGUGUGUGUGUGUGUGUGUGUGUGCGUGUGUGUGUGUCUGUGUGUGCGUUCAAGUCACAUGACAUAUUUAACCGGAUGUAGCUGCAAGACGGAGCCUCGUUGACUCUCCGUUUCAACUUAUCUCAAAAGUGAGGACCUCAACCUAUAUACCAGUUUUUAAAUUGUGUUGAUAGGCCAAAUAAAACCAGAGUUAUGAUAAAUUAUGUCCGCGAUACUUUUUUUCUGCUUAUUUUGAUCACGUUCGGCGCUCAAUCGCGCUGUAUGAGACAGGAAAACAUAGCAUGCAGACAUUAGCGACAGGUCUUACAGGCGGAAAAGGCUUGCCAAAAGAAAAAAAAAAACACACCACAACAUCUCUCCUAUUGGUGGAAAACUUCACCACAACAACCAAUCCAAAAUUAUAUGGUGACUGAUUGACAAGGGGCGGGCGCUUACGUUCUUCCUGCAAUAUGAGAAGGGAGGGAGGGACUCUCAGCAGGGAUGCAGUCUGGGACACGUAGUUGCAAACCUAGAGACUUUGUUGUUAGAUUCAAUGACUUUUCAGACCCCCUAACGACUUUUUUUUAGAAAGAAAGGGACUUUUAUCGACUUCUUCUGGAGUUUAGAGACUCUGACAUGAAGCAGGCUUUCCUUACUGAGGCGUUAGCAACGCUGCUAAGGGUGCAGAGCCACACAUGCGCUCAGAGCUCUGCAUGGGAGACUAAAGCUGACAGAGCUGCAGCAGUUAGCAGGUUUCACCCUCAGAGACCACCAGGGGUUCAUGUUGAGGCAUUUUAAUUUUUUUUUUUUUUGUGCCAUAGACACUGUCAGCACAAUCUGCAGUUACACUAACAAAAAUGCUGCAAAAAACAAAGAAUUAUGGAAAAAUUACACAUGGACUGACAUAGAGGAGGAUCUACACAAGUUUUUUACAUCAUGUUUUACAUCAUGCAUCAUUUACAUCAUGUUUUUUUGUAGUGGCAUAAAUAAAAAGUGACAUUUGUGAGACUAUACAGUGUUUUGUAAAUAAUUUUACAAAGAACGCCUGGGCCAUUGCCUGCAUUUUGAUGUAAAUAGAGGUAAAUUACUAUGUUCUUUGUUAAAAAUUUGCAUAUGUUUUGAAGUUUACAAUUUUUAUUUGAAGUUUAAGUUUUAAAAACAGUUCAUCACACAUAUUUGUGGUUUUCACAGUAAAAAUGUUACUUUUUUCCACUCGGAUUUUAUGUUUUGUGUGUGAAUUUGGGUCCAUUGUGUAAAUUCAGUAUGUCAACAUGAUAAAAUAACUGUAAAUUCGCACAGGUGAGGUUGUGCUGAAAAAAAUGAUACCAGGCAAGGCACGUGAUUGUCAAAUUUUGUGUCAAUAUGACAAAGCGUAUAGGCGUGAAUCUCAACAAUAUGUAUUUUCACCUUAGGGGACAAGAAAAAAUGGACAUUUUUCUCCUGCCAUGGGGGGCGCUCUUUUGGGGAGUAAAAAUUCCUUCACAAAUGUGUUGAUGGCUGGACAUUGCAUCAUCCUAGAAAACUUGGAGGCCAGUGAGGACAAAAAUAAAAAGUUAUAAGACUUUUAAAUAUGUGGAUUUUAGGGUUGUCUUUGGCGCCCCCUAGAACCUAAACCAUGGGGUGCAGCGUCAUGAUUUGAAUAACUUUUAAUGGCCAUGGGGUGUAGAUUGGCCUGAGCAAAUGUGGUGCCGGUGGACAGAAAGCCUUCGGAGGAGUUAGCGAAAUUCCAAUGUGUGUGGAUCGGCAAAAAAUGCGGAAUAACCCUUUAACCGUACAUUUGACAGAUACGCGCGCGUUGACUUUUUCGUAGAUCUUAUUGAGUUACAUGUGUGUGUCAAUUUUUGUGUCAUUUUGACAAAGCGUAAAGGCGUGACACUCAACAAUGUGUAUUUUCACCUUAGGGGACAAGAAAAAAUGGACUUUUUUCUCCUGCCAUGGGGGGGCGCUCUUUUGGGGAGUAAAAAUUCCUUCACAAAUGUGUUGAUGGCUGGACAUUGCAUCAUCCUAGAAAACUUGGAGGCCAGUGAGGACAAAAAUAAAAAGUUAUACGACUUUUAAAUAUGUGGAUUUUAGGGUUGUUUUUGGCGCCCCCUAGAACCUAAACCGUGGGGUGCAGCAUCAUGAUUUGAAUAACUUUUAAUGGCCAUGGGGUGUAGAUUGGCCUGAGCAAAUGUGGUGCCGGUGGACAGAAAGCCUUCGGAGGAGUUAGCGAAAUUCCAAUGUGUGCGGAUCGGCAAAAAAUGCGGAAUAACCCUUUAACCGUACAUUUGACAGAUACGCCCGCACUGACUUUUUUGUAGAUCUUAUUGAGAUACAUAUGUGUGUCAAUUUUUGUGUCAUUUUGACAAAGCGUAAAGGCGUGACAGUCAAUAGUGUGAAUUUUCACCUUAGGGGGCGCUAUGGAGCCAUUUUGCAUUUUCUUGUUUGGGCGACUUCGGAAUAUCAAAUUUUUCACCAGGCCCGGUCAUCCUGCCAAAUUUCAUGAGUUUUCGCCAGUGGGAAGUGGGCCAUUUUCCAGUUCAAAGGGGAGGAAAAAGAAGAAAGAAAGAAACAAAGAAAAACCUCUUGGGGAAUAAUAGGGCUCUCGCAGCUGCUUAGCAGCUACGCUCGGGCCCUAAUAACAAAAGAAGGAAACUACAGGAACAAGAGGGCUCUCGCAGCUGCUUAGCAGCUACGCUCGGGCCCUAAUAAUAACAAAAGAAGAAUCCAUCAGGAACAAGAGGGCUCUCGCAGCUGCUUAGCAGCUACGCUCGGGCCCUAACUAGGACCCCGUUGGGGCACUGGCGGGCCCGAGCCGUGUUGCGCCCCCCCCCCAACGUGCUGCCUCCCCGUCCCAUUUGUGUCCUCUGGCCAUCGCCCUCUCUGGUAACGCCCAUCACUGCAAAGACCCUUUUCCUUCAUCGGCGUUUGCUGUUCUUCCUGCCAGUGCGUGUUGCUUUCACUUACACUUGCCACAGCCAGCCUCGUGAGUGCCUAGCCUAUUGGAUAUCACUGUCACCUACACAGGACAGUCAUUACCUUUCUAUUAAUACUUUGUGUUUUAAUUUCACAUUAAUUUCCAUAUUGUAUAAACGACUGGAAAAAACUUGAGCCCCUGCCCCUGUAUAAUCAUGUGCAUGUCUCUGUUCUAGCUCCAAGGUGAAUCUUCACUGCUCAUGUUCUCCUCAGAAGCACUCACCUCACUCCCCUCAGGUUACUGUACACAUGCACCAACUGCCUGCUUCAGGUUUGGAUGGAGCUUCAUGGUUGUCUUUUGGAGAAAUGACCAGUCAAGUUGUGUUUGAAAUUUGAUUUUUUUCAGGGGCAAAAGGAGCCUCUGCAUUCUUGUCAAAUAUGUAAAUAGCAUGUUUUUGCAGGUGCUAAAAACCAGACUCUGAGUGUGUGUGUGUGUGUGUGUGUGUGUGUGUGUGUGUGUGUGUGUGUGUGUGUGCGUGUGUGUGUGUCUGUGUGUGCGUUCAAGUCACAUGACAUAUUUAACCGGAUGUAGCUGCAAGACGGAGCCUCGUUGACUCUCCGUUUCAACUUAUCUCAAAAGUGAGGACCUCAACCUAUAUACCAGUUUUUAAAUUGUGUUGAUAGGCCAAAUAAAACCAGAGUUAUGAUAAAUUAUGUCCGCGAUACUUUUUUUCUGCUUAUUUUGAUCACGUUCGGCGCUCAAUCGCGCUGUAUGAGACAGGAAAACAUAGCAUGCAGACAUUAGCGACAGCUCUUACAGGCGGAAAAGGCUUGCCAAAAGAAAAAAAAAACACACCACAACAUCUCUCCUAUUGGUGGAAAACUUCACCACAACAACCAAUCCAAAAUUAUAUGGUGACUGAUUGACAAGGGGCGGGCGCUUACGUUCUUCCUGCAACAUGAGAAGGGAGGGAGGGACUCUCAGCAGGGAUGCAGUCUGGGACACGUAGUUGCAAACCUAGCGACUUUGUUGUUAGAUUCAAUGACUUUUCAGACCCCCUAACGACUUUUUUUUAGAAAGAAAGGGACUUUUAUCGACUUCUUCUGGAGUUUAGAGACUCUGACAUGAAGCAGGCUUUCCUUACUGAGGAGUUAGCAACGCUGCUAAGGGUGCAGAGCCACACAUGCGCUCAGAGCUCUGCAUGGGAGACUGAAGCUGACAGAGCUGCAGCAGUUAGCAGGUUUCACCCUCAGAGACCACCAGGGGUUCAUGUUGAGGCAUUUUAAUUUUUUUUUUUUUUUGCCAUAGACACUGUCAGCACAAUCUGCAGUUACACUAACAAAAAUGCUGCAAAAAACAAAGAAUUAUGGAAAAAUUACACAUGGACUGACAUAGAGGAGGAUCUACACAAGUUUUUUACAUCAUGUUUUACAUCAUGCAUCAUUUACAUCAUGUUUUUUUGUAGUGGCAUAAAUAAAAAGUGACAUUUGUGAGACUAUACAGUGUUUUGUAAAUAAUUUUACAAAGAACGCCUGGGCCAUUGCCUGCAUUUUGAUGUAAAUAGAGGUAAAUCACUAUGUUCUUUGUUAAAAAUUUGCAUAUGUUUUGAAGUUUACAAUUUUUAUUUGAAGUUUAAGUUUUAAAAACAGUUCAUCACACAUAUUUGUGGUUUUCACAGUAAAAAUGUUACUUUUUUCCACUCGGAUUUUAUGUUUUGUGUGUGAAUUUGGGUCCAUUGUGUAAAUUCAGUAUGUCAACAUGAUAAAAUAACUGUAAAUUCGCACAGGUGAGGUUGUGCUGAAAAAAAUGAUACCAGGCAAGGCACGUGAUUGUCAAAUUUUGUGUCAAUAUGACAAAGCGUAUAGGCGUGAAUCUCAACAAUAUGUAUUUUCACCUUAAGGGACAAGAAAAAAUGGACUUUUUUCUCCUGCCAUGGGGGGACGCUCUUUUGGGGAGUAAAAAUUCCUUCACAAAUGUGUUGAUGGCUGGACAUUGCAUCAUCCUAGAAAACUUGGAGGCCAGUGAGGACAAAAAUAAAAAGUUAUAAGACUUUUAAAUAUGUGGAUUUUAGGGUUAUCUUUGGCGCCCCCUAGAACCUAAACCGUGGGGUGCAGCGUCAUGAUUUUGAUAACUUUUAAUGGCCAUGGGGUGUAGAUUGGCCUGAGCAAAUGUGGUGCCGGUGGAACGAAAGCCUUAGGAGGAGUUAGCCACAUUCCAAUGUGUGCGGAUCGGCAAAAAAUGCGGAAUAACCCUUUAACCGUACAUUUGACAGAUACGCGCGCAUUGACUUUUUCGUAGAUCUUAUUGAGUUACAUGUGUGUGUCAAUUUUUGUGUCAUUUUGACAAAGCGUAUAGGCGUGACACUCAACAAUGUGUAUUUUCACCUUAGGGGACAAGAAAAAAUGGACUUUUUUCUCCUGCCAUGGGGGGGCGCUCUUUUGGGGAGUAAAAAUUCCUUCACAAAUGUGUUGAUGGCUGGACAUUGCAUCAUCCUAGAAAACUUGGAGGCCAGUGAGGACAAAAAUAAAAAGUUAUAAGACUUUUAAAUAUGUGGAUUUUAGUGUUAUCUUUGGCGCCCCCUAGAACCUAAACCUUGGGGUGCAGCGUCAUGAUUUUGAUAACUUUUAAUGGCCACGGGGUGUAGAUUGGCCUGAGCAAAUGUGGUGCCGGUGGAACGAAAGCCUUCGGAGGAGUUAGCGAAAUUCCAAUGUGUGCGGAUCGGCAAAAAAUGCGAAAUAACCCUUUAACCGUACAUUUGACAGAUACGGCCGCACUGACUUUUUUGUAGAUCUUAUUGAGAUACAUAUGUGUGUCAAUUUUUGUGUCAAUAUGACAAAGCGUACAGGCGUGACAGUCAAUAGUGUGAAUUUCCACCUUAGGGGGCGCUAUGGAGCCAUUUUGCAUUUUAUUGUUUGGGCGACUUCAGAAUAUCGAAUUUUUCACCAGGCCCGGUCGUCCUGCCAAAUUUCAUGAGUUUUCGCCAGUGGGAAGUGGGCCAUUUUCCAGUUCAAAGGGGAGGAAAAAGAAGAAACUAGGGCCCCGUUGGGGCACUGGCGGGCCCGAGCCGCGUCGCGCCGCCCCCAGCGCGACCGCCUCCCCGUCCCAUUCGUGCCCUCUGGCCAUCGCCCUCUCUGGUGACGCCCAUCACUGCAAAGACCCUUUUCCUUCAUCGGUGUUUGCUGUUCUUCCUGCCAUUGCGUGUUGCUUUCACUUACACUUGCCACAGCCAGCCUCGUGAGUGCCUGGCCUGGUUUGACCUUUGCUCACCAUGAUUGUGUGACCUUGGUAUCAGCUACUUGGGAAGUUCAACCGUUGUGGCAAAGCUUUGUUUGCGUGCUGUGCUCAACCACCUAUUUUCUAUGGAUGUGUAAGUAAACCACUUUCUUUCUUACACAAUGACACACUCAUACUUAUCACUCACUGCUACUGAUGUGCUCUGUUAGUAUGCAUGCAGGAAACCUGAUGAAUGAAGAAAUGCCCAGACUAGCCAACAUCUCAAUAAAUUAUGAGGUAUGACAUCACUUGAAUGGUUUCCUUGGACUAUGCUUCCAUUAUUCUAAUUCUGUAAUAAAAAGAAAUUUUGUCCAAAAGGACUGUUGUUGUUUUUUCUUCUAAUAAUUAACAUAUUUAACAUAAUUAACAUUCAAUAUGCGCUCAUUACACACGUGCACACUCUUUGAUGAUCUGAGAAGCAGAGCUUAAAGGACAGUAGGAGUAGCUGAACAAAGUGUAUUUGUAGGAAAGCCGUAAGAGCUAUUGAAACGCCGUUUUCGCGGGUUGAAAGGUUAGGGUGUCCACCAAAGGUCAGAGGUCAAAUAACAUUUGUAUCUCAAACUGUGACGUCAAAGUCAAGGUCCAAAGAUGGUGUGCGCACCUGUCUUUGGUCAUUUCCCAUUAUAAUGAAUGGGAGGCACAGUUUCUACCAAAACGCUCGCUGCAGACAAACUACAUGUCCUAUUUGAAAAAACUCUGGACCAUGAGUGAGGGCACAAACACAGCUAGGACAUAUCCACAUGGCAAGUUGCUCCUCCUUUUGGUUUUAGCGGGAGAGCAAUGCGUUUGAGCCAUUAAGCGAUGGGCUGGAAAAACUUGACUUUUUCUCCUGCCAUGGGGGGGGGGGGGGGCGCUCUUUUGGGGAGAAAAAAUUCCUUCACAGAUGUGUUGAUGGCUGCACAUUGCAUCAACCUAGAAAAAUUGGAGGCCAGUGAGGACAAAAAUAAAAAGUUAUAAGACUUUUAAAAAUGUGGAUAUUUGGGUCAUCUUUGGCGCCCCCUAGAACCUAAACCGUGGGGUGCAGCGUCAUGAUUUGUACAACUUUGAAUGGCCAUGGGGUGUAGAUUGGCCUGAGCAAAUUUGGUGUCAGUAGAACGAAAGCCUUAGGAGGAGUUAGCCACAUUCCAAUGUGUGCGAAUCGGCAAAAAAUGCAAGAUAGCCCUUUAACCGUACAUUUUACAGAUAUGUGCCCAUUGACUUUUUCGUAGAUCUUAUUGAGAUACACGUGUGUGUCAAAUUUUGUGUCAAUAUGACAAAGCGUAUAGGCGUGACACUGAACAAUGUGUAUUUUCACCUUAGGGGACAAGAAAAAAUGGCCUUUUUUGUCCUGCCAUGGGGGGGCGCUGUUUUGGGGAGUAAAAAUUCCUUCACAAAUGUGUUGAUGGCUGGACAUUGCAUCAUCCUAGAAAACUUGGAGGCCAAUGAGGACAAAAAUAAAAAGUUAUAAGAUUUUUAAGAAUGUGGAUUUGUGGGUUAUCUUUGGCGCCCCCUAGAACGUAAACCGUGGGGUGCAGCGUCAUGAUUUGUACAACUUUCAAUGGCCAUGGGGUGUAGAUUGGCCUGAGCAAAUGUAGUGCUGGUGGAACGAAAGCCUUCGGAGGAGUUAGCGAAAUUCCAAUGUGUGCGGAACGGCAAAAAAUGCGAAAUAACCCUUUAACCGUACAUUUGACAGAUACGCCCGCACUGACUUUUUUGUAGAUCUUAUUGAGAUACAUGUGUGUGUCAAUUUUUGUGUCAAUAUGACAAAGCGUACAGACGUGACAGUCAAUAGUGUGAAUUUUCACCUUUGGGGGCGCUAUUGAGCCAUUUUGCAUUUUCUUGUUUGGGCGGCUUCAGAAUAUCGAAUUUUUCACCAGGCCCGGUCGUCCUGCCAAAUUUCAUGAGUUUUCGCCAGUGGGAAGUGGGCCAUUUUCCAGUUUAAAGCGGAGGAAAAAUAAUAACUAGGGCCCCGUUGGGGCACUGGCGGGCCCGAGCCGUGUCGCACCCCCCCCCCCCCCCCCAACGCGCUGCCUCCCCGUCCCAUUCGUGUCCUCUGGCCAUCGCCCUCUCUGGUAACGCCCAUCACUGCAAAGACCCUUUUCCUUCAUCGGCGUUUGCUGUUCUUCCUGCCAGUGUGUGUUGCUUUCACUUACACUUGCCACAGCCAGCCUCGUGAGUGCCUAGCCUAUUGGAUAUCACUGUCACCUACACAGGACAGUCAUACUUUGUUUUUUAAUUUCACAUUAAUUUCCAUAUUGUAUAAACGACUGGAAAAAACUUGAGCCCCUGCCCCUGUAUUAUCAUGUGCACGUCCCUGUUCUAGCUCCAAGGUGAAUCUUCACUGCUCAUGUUCUCCUCAGAAGCAGUCACCUCACUCCCCUCAGGUUACUGUACACAUGCACCAACUGCCUGCUUCAGGUUUGGAUGGAGCUUCAUGGUUGUCUUUUGGAGAAAUGAGCAGUCAAGUUGUGUUUGAAAUUUGAUUUUUUUCAGGGGCAAAAGGAAGCCUCUGCAUUCUUGUCAAAUAUGUAAAUAGCAUGUUUUUGCAGGUGCUAAAAAACAGACUCUGAGUGUGUGUGUGUGUGUGUGUGUGUGUGUGUGUGUGUGUGUGUGUGUGCGUGUGUGUCUGUGUGUGUGUGUGUGUGUAUCCUGCAGUACUCUGAGAAGAAUAAUAAGCAUAUUUCUGAGGUGAAUUUUGAAGAUUCAUCUGAGAGUUAGGUUUGAUUCGAUUCGAUUGACGCUCCCCAGCGUUCAAGUCACAUGACAUAUUUAACCGGAUGUAGCUGCAAGACGGAGCCUCGUUAACUCUCCGUUUCAACUUAUCUCAAAAGUGAGGACCUCAACCUAUAUACCAGUUUUUAAAUUGUGUUGAUAGGCCAAAUAAAACCAGAGUUAUGAUAAAUUAUGUCCGCGAUACUUUUUUUCUGCUUAUUUUGAUCACGUUCGGUGCUCGAUUGCGCUGUAUGAGACAGGAAAACAUAGCAUGCAGACAUUAGCGACAGGUCUUACAGGCGGAAAAGGCUUGCCAAAAGAAAAAAAAAAACACCACAACAUCUCUCCUAUUGGUGGAAAACUUCACCACAACAACCAAUCCAAAAUUAUAUGGUGACUGAUUGACAAGGGGCGGGCGCUUACGUUCUUCCUGCAAUAUGAGAAGGGAGGGAGGGACUCUCAGCAGGGAUGCAGUCUGGGACACGUAGUUGCAAACCUAGCGACUGUGUUGUUAGAUUCAAUUACUUUUCAGACCCCCUAACGACUUUUUUUUAGAAAGAAAGGGACUUUUAUCGACUUCUUCUGGAGUUUAGAGACUCUGACAUGAAGCAGGCUUUCCUUACUGAGGAGUUAGCAACGCUGCUAAGGGUGCAGAGCCACACAUGCGCUCCGAGCUCUGCAUGGGAGACUGAAGCUGACAGAGCUGCAGCAGUUAGCAGGUUUCACCCUCAGAGACCACCAGGGGUUCAUGUUGAGGCAUUUUCAGUUUUUGUUUUUUUUGCCAUAGACUGUCAGCACAAUCUGCAGUUACACUAACAAAAAUGCUGCAAAAAACAAAGAAUUAUGGAAAAAUUACACAUGGACUGACAUAGAGGAGGAUCUACACAAGUUUUUUACAUCAUGUUUUACAUCAUGCAUCAUUUACAUCAUGUUUUUUUGUAGUGGCAUAAAUAAAAAGUGACAUUUGUGAGACUAUACAGUGUUUUGUAAAUAAUUUUACAAAGAACGCCUGGGCCAUUGCCUGCAUUUUGAUGUAAAUAGAGGUAAAUUACUAUGUUCUUUGUUAAAAAUUUGCAUAUGUUUUGAAGUUUACAAUUUUUAUUUGAAGUUUAAGUUUUAAAAACAGUUCAUCACACAUAUUUGUGUUUUAAUUUCACAUUAAUUUCCAUAUUGUAUAAAUGACUGGAAAAAUCUUGAGCCCCUGCCCCUGUAUUAUCAUGUGCACGUCCCUGUUCUAGCUCCAAGGUGAAUCUUCACUGCUCAUGUUCUCCUCAGAAAUAGUCACCUCACUCCCCUCAGGUUACUGUACACAUGCACCAACUAUCUGCUUCAGGUUUGGAUGGAGCUUCAUGGUUGUCUUUUGGAGAAAUGAACAGUCAAGUUGUGUUUGAAAUCUGAUUUUUUUCAGGGGCAAAAGGAAGCCUCUGCAUUCUUGUCAAAUAUGUAAACAGCAUGUUUUUGCAGGUGCUAAAAAACAGACUCUGAGUGUGUGUGUGUGUGUGUGUGUGUGUGUGUGUGUGUGUGUGUGUGUGUGUGUGUGUGUGUGUGUAUCCUGCAGUACUCUGUACUCCUGCAGUGGCCAAAAAGACUUUUAAGAAUGUGGAUUUUUGGGUCAUCUUUGGCGCCCCCUAGAACUGCAGUACUCUGUACUCCUGCAGUGGCCAAAAUGACUUUUAAGAAUGUGGAUUUUUGGGUCAUCUUUGGCGCCCCCUAGAACGUAAACCGUGGGGUGCAGCGUCAUGAUUUUUACAACUUUGAAUGGCCAUAGGAUGUAGAUCGGCUUGAGCAAAUUUGGUGUUGGUGGGACGAAAGCCUUAGGAGGAGUUAGCGAAAUUCCAAUGUGUGCGGAUCGGGAAAAAAUGCGAAAUAGCCCUUUAACCAUACAUUAUACAGAUACGCGCUCUUUGACUUUUUCGUAGAUCUUAUUGAGAUACACGUGAUUGUCAAAUUUUGUGUCAAUAUGACAAAGCGUUCAGGCGUGACACUCUACAAUGUGUAUUUUCAUGUUAGGGGACAAGAAAAAAUGGACUUUUUUCACCUGCCAUGGGGGGGCGCUCUUUUGGGGAGUAAAAAUUCCUUCACAAAUGUGUUGAUGGCUGGACAUUGCAUCAUCCUAGAAAACUUGGAGGCCAGUGAGGACAAAAAUAAAAAGUUAUAAGACUUUUAAGAAUGUGGAUUUUUGGGUUAUCUUUGGCGCCCCCUAGAACGUAAACCGUGGGGUGCAGCGUCAUGAUUUGUACAACUUUUAAUGGCCAUGGGGUGUAGAUUGGCCUGAGCAAAUUUGGUGCCGGUGGAACGAAAGCCUUCGGAGGAGUUAGCGAAAUUCCAAUGUGUGCGGAUCGGCAAAAAAUGCAAAAUAGCCCUUUAACGGUACAUUUGACAGAUACGCCCGCACUGACUUUUUUGUAGGUCUUAUUGAGAUACACAUGUGUGUCAAAUUUUGUGUCAAUUUGACAAAGCGUACAGGCGUCAGGUGAAUUUUCACCAUAGGGGGCGCUAUGGAGCCAUUUUUCAUUUUUUUAUUUGGGCGACUUCAGAAUAUCAAAUUUUUCACCAGGCCCGGUCGUCCUGCCAAAUUUCCUGAGUUUUCGCCAGUGGGAAGUGGGCCAUUUUCCAGUUUAAAGCGGAGGAAAAAUAACGAAAGAAGAAUCCAUCAGGAACAAGAGGGCUCUCGCAGCUGCUUAGCAGCUACGCUCGGGCCCUAAUAACUAGGGCCCCGUUGGGGCACUGGCGGGCCCGAGCCGUGUCACGCCGCCCCCAGCGCGACCGCCUCCCCCACCCGAUCGCGUCACACUCAAGGUCCAAAGAUGGUGUGCGCACUUGUUUGUGGUCAUUUACCAUUAUAAUGAACGGGAGGCGCAGUUUCUACCAAAACGCUCGCUGCAGAAAAACUCCAUGUCCUAUUUGAAAAAAGUCUGGACCAUGAGUGAGGGCACAAACACAGCUAAGAUAUAUCCAAAUGGCAAGUUGCUCCUCCUUUCGCUUUUGCCGAGAGAGCAGUGCGUUUGAGCCAUUGAAUGAUGAACAGGAAAAACUUGACUUUAUUCUCCUGCCAUGGGGGGGCGCUCUUUUAACGAGAAAAAACUCCUUCACAAAUGUGUUGAUGGCUGGACAUUGCAUCAUCCUAGAAAACAUGGAGGCCAGUGAGGACAAAAAUAAAAAGUUAUAAGACUUUUAAGAAUGUGGAUUUUUGGGUUAUCUUUGGCGCCCCCUAGAACCUAAACCGUGGGGUGCAGCGUCAUGAUUUGAAUAACUUUUAAUGGCCAUGGGGUGUAGAUUGGCCUGAGCAAAUGUGGUGCCGGUGGAACGAAAGCCUUCGGAGGAGUUAGCGAAAUUCCAAUGUGUGCGAAUCUGCAAAAAAUGCGAAACCGUACAUUUUACAGAUACGUGGCCAUUGACUUUUUCGAAGAUCUUAUUGAAAUACACGUGUAUGUAAAAUUUUGUGUCAAUACGACAAAACAUACAGGCGUAGCACUCAACAAUGUGUAUUUUCACCUUAGUGGACAAGAAAAAAUGGACUUUUUUCUCCUGCCAUGGGUGGGGGGCGCUCUUUUGGCGAGUAAAAAUUCCUUCACAAAUGUGUUGAUGGCUGGACAUUGCAUCAUCCUAGAAAACUUGGAGGCCAGUGAGGACAAAAAUAAAAAGUUAUAAGACUUUUAAGAAUGUGGAUUUUUGGGUUAUCUUUGGCGCCCCCUAGAACGUAAACCGUGGGGUGCAGCGUCAUGAUUUGUACAACUUUUGAUGGCCAUGGGGUGUAGAUUGGCCUGAGCAAAUUUGGUGCCAGUGGAACGAAAGCCUUCGGAGGAGUUAGCGAAAUUCCAAUGUGUGCGGAUCGGCAAAAAAUGCGAAAUAGCCCUUUAACGGUACAUUUGACAGAUACGCCCGCACUGACUUUUUUGUAGGUCUUAUUGAGAUACACAUGUGUGUCAAAUUUUGUGUCAUUUUGACAAAGCGUACAGGCGUCAGGUGAAUUUUCACCAUAGGGGGCGCUAUGGAGCCAUUUUUCAUUUUUUUGUUUGGGCGACUUCAGAAUAUCGAAUUUUUCACCAGGCCCGGUCUUCCUGCCAAAUUUCCUGAGUUUUCACCAGUGGGAAGUGGGCCAUUUUCCAGUUUAAAGCGGAGGAAAAAUAAUAACUAGGACCCCGUUGGGGCACUGGCGGGCCCGAGCCGUGUCGCGUCCCCCCCCCCCCAACGUGCUGCCUCCCCGUCCCAUUUGUGUCCUCUGGCCAUCGCCCUCUCUGGUUACGCCCAUCACUGCAAAGACCCUUUUCCUUCAUCGGCGUUUGCUGUUCUUCUUGCCAGUGCGUGUUGCUUUCACUUACACUUGCCACAGCCAGCCUCGUGAGUGCCUAGCCUAUUGGAUAUCACUGUCACCUACACAGGACAGUCAUUACCUUUCUAUUAAUACUUUGUGUUUUAAUUUCACAUUAAUUUCCAUAUUGUAUAAACGACUGGAAAAAACUUGAGCCCCUGCCCCUGUAUAAUCAUGUGCACGUCCCUGUUCUAGCUCUAAGGUGAAUCUUCACUGCUCAUGUUCUCCUCAGAAUCAGUCACCUCACUCCCCUCAGGUUACUGUACACAUGCACCAACUGCCUGCUUCAGGUUUGGAUGGAGCUUCAUGGUUGUCUUUUGGAGAAAUGACCAGUCAAGUUGUGUUUGAAAUUUGAUUUUUUUCAGGGGCAAAAGGAGCCUCUGCAUUCUUGUCAAAUAUGUAAAUAGCAUGUUUUUGCAGGUGCUAAAAACCAGACUCUGAGUGUGUGUGUGUGUGUGUGCGUGUGUGUGUGUCUGUGUGUGCGUUCAAGUCACAUGACAUAUUUAACCGGAUGUAGCUGCAAGACGGAGCCUCGUUGACUCUCCGUUUCAACUUAUCUCAAAAGUGAGGACCUCAACCUAUAUACCAGUUUUUAAAUUGUGUUGAUAGGCCAAAUAAAACCAGAGUUAUGAUAAAUUAUGUCCGCGAUACUUUUUUUCUGCUUAUUUUGAUCACGUUCGGCGCUCGAUCGCGCUGUAUGAGACAGGAAAACAUAGCAUGCAGACAUUAGCGACAGGUCUUACAGGCGGAAAAGGCUUGCCAAAAGAAAAAAAAAACACACCACAACAUCUCUCCUAUUGGUGGAAAACUUCACCACAACAACCAAUCCAAAAUUAUAUGGUGACUGAUUGACAAGGGGCGGGUGCUUACGUUCUUCCUGCAACAUGAGAAGCGAGGGAGGGACUCUCAGCAGGGAUGCAGUCUGGGACACGUAGUUGCAAACCUAGCGACUUUGUUGUUAGAUUCAAUGACUUUUCAGACCCCCUAACGACUUUUUUUUUAGAAAGAAAGGGACUUUUAUCGACUUCUUCUGGAGUUUAGAGACUCUGACAUGAAGCAGGCUUUCCUUACUGAGGAGUUAGCAACGCUGCUAAGGGUGCAGAGCCACACAUGCGCUCAGAGCUCUGCAUGGGAGACUGAAGCUGACAGAGCUGCAGCAGUUAGCAGGUUUCACCCUCAGAGACCACCAGGGGUUCAUGUUGAGGCAUUUUAAUUUUUUUUUUUUUUGUGCCAUAGACACUGUCAGCACAAUCUGCAGUUACACUAACAAAAAUGCUGCAAAAAACAAAGAAUUAUGGAAAAAUUACACAUGGACUGACAUAGAGGAGGAUCUAGUUUUUUACAUCAUGUUUUACAUCAUGCAUCAUUUACAUCAUGUUUUUUUGUAGUGGCAUAAAUAAAAAGUGACAUUUGUGAGACUAUACAGUGUUUUGUAAAUAAUUUUACAAAGAACGCCUGGGCCAUUGCCUGCAUUUUGAUGUAAAUAGAGGUAAAUCACUAUGUUCUUUGUUAAAAAUUUGCAUAUGUUUUGAAGUUUACAAUUUUUAUUUGAAGUUUAAGUUUUAAAAACAGUUCAUCACACAUAUUUGUGGUUUUCACAGUAAAAAUGUUACUUUUUUCCACUCGGAUUUUAUGUUUUGUGUGUGAAUUUGGGUCCAUUGUGUAAAUUCAGUAUGUCAACAUGAUAAAAUAACUGUAAAUUCGCACAGGUGAGGUUGUGCUGAAAAAAAUGAUACCAGGCAAGGCACGUGAUUGUCAAAUUUUGUGUCAAUAUGACAAAGCGUAUAGGCGUGAAUCUCAACAAUAUGUAUUUUCACCUUAGGGGACAAGAAAAAAUUGACUUUUUUCUCCUGCCAUGGGGGGGCGCUCUUUUGGGGAGUAAAAAUUCCUUCACAAAUGUGUUGAUGGCUGGACAUUGCAUCAUCCUAGAAAACUUGGAGGCCAGUGAGGACAAAAAUAAAAAGUUACAAGACUUUUAAAUAUGUGGAUUUUAGGGUUAUCUUUGGCGCCCCCUAGAACCUAAACCGUGGGGUGCAGCGUCAUGAUUUUGAUAACUUUUAAUGGCCAUGGGGUGUAGAUUGGCCUGAGCAAAUGUGUUGCCGGUGGAACGAAAGCCUUAGGAGGAGUUAGCCACAUUCCAAUGUGUGCGGAUCGGCAAAAAAUGCGGAAUAACCCUUUAACCGUACAUUUGACAGAUACGCGCUCAUAGACUUUUUUGUAGAUCUUAUUGAGAUACAUGUGUGUGUCAAUUUUUGUGUCAUUUUGCCAAAGCGUAAAGGCGUGACAGUCAACAAUGUGUAUUUUCACCUUAGGGGUCAAGAAAAAAUGGACUUUUUUCUCCUGCCAUGGGGGGGCGCUCUUUUGGGGAGUAAAAAUUCCUUCACAGAUGUGUUGAUGGCUGGACAUUGCAUCAUCCUAGAAAACUUGGAGGCCAAUGAGGACAAAAAUAAAAAGUUAUAAGAUUUUUAAAUAUGUGGAUUUUAGGGUUAUCUUUGGCGCCCCCUAGAACCUAAACCGUGGGGUGCAGCGUCAUGAUUUGAAUAACUUUUAAUGGCCAUGGGGUGUAGAUUGGCCUGAGCAAAUGUGGUGCCGGUGGAACGAAAGCCUUCGGAGGAGUUAGCGAAAUUCCAAUGUGUGCAGAUCUGCAAAAAAUGCAAAAUAACCCAUUAACCGUACAUUUGACAGAUACGCCCGCACUGACUUUUUUGUAGAUCUUAUUGAGAUACAUGUGUGUGUCAAUUUUUGUGUCAAUAUGACAAAGCGUACAGCCGUGACAGUGAAUAGUGUGAAUUUUCACCUUAGGGGGCGCUAUGGAGCCAUUUUGCAUUUUAUUGUUUUGGCGACUUCAGAAUAUCAAAUUUUUCACCAGGCCCGGUCGUCCUGCCAAAUUUCAUGAGUUUUCGCCAGUGGGAAGUGGGCCAUUUUCCAGUUCAAAGGGGAGGAAAAAGAAAAAAGAAAGUAAGAAACAAAGAAAAACCACUUGGGGAAUAAUAGGGCCUACGCCCGGCUGCUCUGCAGCUGGCUCGGGCCCUAACGAAAGAAGGAAACAUGCAGGAACAAGAGGGCUCUCGCAGCUGCUUAGCAGUUACGCUCGGGCCCUAAUAACAAAAGAAGAAUCCAUCAGGAACAAGAGGGCUCUCGCAGCUGCUUAGCAGCUACGCUCGGGCCCUAAGAAAGAAAGAAAGAAAGAAAGAAAGAAACAAAGAAAAACCACUUGGGGAAUAAUAGGGCUCUCGCAGCUGCUUAGCAGCUACGCUCGGGCCCUAACUAGGACCCCGUUGGGGCACUGGCGGGCCCGAGCUGUGUCGCGUCCCCCCCCAACGCGCUGCCUCCCCGUCCCAUUUGUGUCCUCUGGCCAUCGCCCUCUCUGGUAACGCCCAUCACUGCAAAGACCCUUUUCCUUCAUCGGCGUUUGCUGUUCUUCCUGCCAGUGCGUGUUGCUUUCACUUACACUUGCCACAGCCAGCCUCGUGAGUGCCUAGCCUAUUGGAUAUCACUGUCACCUACACAGGACAGUCAUUACCUUUCUAUUAAUACUUUGUUUUUUAAUUUCACAUUAAUUUCCAUAUUGUAUAAACAACUGGAAAAAACUUGAGCCCCUGCCCCUGUAUAAUCAUGUGCAGGUCUCUGUUCUAGCUCUAAGGUGAAUCUUCACUGCUCAUGUUCUCCUCAGAAGCACUCACCUCACUCCCCUCAGGUUACUGUACACAUGCACCAACUGCCUGCUUCAGGUUUGGAUGGAGCUUCAUGGUUGUCUUUUGGAGAAAUGACCAGUCAAGUUGUGUUUGAAAUUUGAUUUUUUUCAGUAGCAAAAGGAGCCUCUGCAUUGUUGUCAAAUAUGUAAAUAGCAUGUUUUUGCAGGUGCUAAAAACCAGACUCUGAGUGUGUGUGUGUGUGUGUGUGCGUGUGUGUCUGUGUGUGUGUGUCUGUGUGUGCGUUCAAGUCACAUGACAUAUUUAACCGGAUGUAGCUGCAAGACGGAGCCUCGUUGACUCUCCGUUUCAACUUAUCUCAAAAGUGAGGACCUCAACCUAUAUACCAGUUUUUAAAUUGUGUUGAUAGGCCAAAUAAAACCAGAGUUAUGAUAAAUUAUGUCCGCGAUACUUUUUUUCUGCUUAUUUUGAUCACGUUCGGCGCUCGAUCGCGCUGUAUGAGACAGGAAAACAUAGCAUGCAGACAUUAGCGACAGGUCUUACAGGCGGAAAAGGUUUGCCAAAAGAAAAAAAAAAACACACCACAACAUCUCUCCUAUUGGUGGAAAACUUCACCACAACAACCAAUCCAAAAUUAUAUGGUGACUGAUUGACAAGGGGCGGGCGCUUACGUUCUUCCUGCAACAUGAGAAGGGAGGGAGGGACUCUCAGCAGGGAUGCAGUCUGGGACACGUAGUUGCAAACCUAGCGACUUUGUUGUUAGAUUCAAUGACUUUUCAGACCCCCUAACGACUUUUUUUUAGAAAGAAAGGGACUUUUAUCGACUUCUUCUGGAGUUUAGAGACUCUGACAUGAAGCAGGCUUUCCUUACUGAGGAGUUAGCAACGCUGCUAAGGGUGCAGAGCCACACAUGCGCUCAGAGCUCUGCAUGGGAGACUGAAGCUGACAGAGCUGCAGCAGUUAGCAGGUUUCACCCUCAGAGACCACCAGGGGUUCAUGUUGAGGCAUUUUAAUUUUUUUUUUUUUUUGUGCCAUAGACACUGUCAGCACAAUCUGCAGUUACACUAACAAAAAUGCUGCAAAAAACAAAGAAUUAUGGAAAAAUUACACAUGGACUGACAUAGAGGAGGAUCUACACAAGUUUUUUACAUCAUGUUUUACAUCAUGCAUCAUUUACAUCAUGUUUUUUUGUAGUGGCAUAAAUAAAAAGUGACAUUUGUGAGACUAUACAGUGUUUUGUAAAUAAUUUUACAAAGAACGCCUGGGCCAUUGCCUGCAUUUUGAUGUAAAUAGAGGUAAAUCACUAUGUUCUUUGUUAAAAAUUUGCAUAUGUUUUGAAGUUUACAAUUUUUAUUUGAAGUUUAAGUUUUAAAAACAGUUCAUCACACAUAUUUGUGGUUUUCACAGUAAAAAUGUUACUUUUUUCCACUCGGAUUUUAUGUUUUGUGUGUGAAUUUGGGUCCAUUGUGUAAAUUCAGUAUGUCAACAUGAUAAAAUAACUGUAAAUUCGCACAGGUGAGGUUGUGCUGAAAAAAAAUGAUACCAGGCAAGGCACGUGAUUGUCAAAUUUUGUGUCAAUAUGACAAAGCGUAUAGGCGUGACAUUCAACAAUGUGUAUUUUCGCCUUAGGGGACAAGAAAAAAUGGACUUUUUUCUCCUGCCAUGGGGGGGCGCUCUUUUGGGGAGUAAAAAUUCCUUCACAAAUGUGUUGAUGGCUGGACAUUGCAUCAUCCUAGAGAACUUGGAGGCCAGUGAGGACAAAAAUAAAAAGUUAUAAGACUUUUAAGACUGUGGAUUUUUGGGUUAUCUUUGGCGCCCCCUAGAACCUAAACCGUGGGGUGCAGCGUCAUGAUUUGUACAACUUUUAAUGGCCAUGGGUUGUAGAUUGGCCUGAGCAACUAUGGUGUCAGUGGGACGAAAGCCUUCGGAGGAGUUAGCGAAAUUCCAAUGUGUGCGAAUCGGCAAAAAAUGCAAAAUAGCCCUUUUACCGUACAUUAUACAGAUACGCGCUCUUUGACUUUUUCGUAGAUCUAAUUGAGAUACACAUGAUUGUCAAUUUUUGUGUCAAUAUGACAAAGAGUUCAGGCGUGACACUCAACAAUGUGUAUUUUCACCUUAGGGGACAAGAAAAAAUUGACUUUUUUCUCCUGCCAUGGGGGGGGCGCUCUUUUGGGGAGUAAAAAUUCCUUCACAAAUGUGUUGAUGGCUGGACAUUGCAUCAUCCUAGAAAACUUGGAGGCCAGUGAGGACAAAAAUAAAAAGUUAUAAGACUUUUAAAUAUUUGGAUUUUAGGGUUAUCUUUGGCGCCCCCUAGAACCUAAACCGUGGGGUGCAGCGUCAUGAUUUUUACAACUUUUAAUGGCCAUGGGGUGUAGAUUGGCCUGAGCAAAUUUGGUGCCGGUGGAACGAAAGCCUUCGGAGGAGUUAGCCACAUUCCAAUGUGUGCGGAUCGGCAAAAAAUGCGAAAUAAACCUUUAACCGUACAUUAUACAGAUACGCGCUCUUUGACUUUUUCGUAGAUCUUAUUGAGAUACACGUGUGUGUCAAUUUUUGUGUCAAUAUGACAAAGCGUUUAGGCGUGACACUCAACAAUGUGUAUUUUCAUGUUAGGGGACAAGAAAAACUUGACUUUUUUCUCCUGCCAUGGGGGGGCGCUCUUUUGGGGAGUAAAAAUUCCUUCACACAUGUGUUGAUGGCUGGACAUAGCAUCAUCCUAGAAAACUUGGAGGCCAGUGAGGACAAAAAUAAAAAGUUAUAAGACUUUUAAGAAUGUGGAUUUUUGGGUUAUCUUUGGCGCCCCCUAGAACAUAAACCGUGGGGUGCAGCGUCAUGAUUUGUACAACUUUUAAUGGCCAUGGGGUGUAGAUUGGCCUGAGCAAAUUUGGUGCCGGUGGAACGAAAGCCUUCGGAGGAGUUAGCCACAUUCCAAUGUGUGCGGAUCGGCAAAAAAUGCGAAAUAGCCCUUUAACCGUACAUUUGACAGAUACGCCCGCACUGACUUUUUUGUAGAUCUUAUUGAGAUACACAUGUGUGUCAAAUUUUGUGUCAUUUUGACAAAGCGUACAGGCGUCAGGUGAGUUUUCACCAUAGGGGGCGCUAUGGAGCCAUUUUUUAUUUUUUUGUUUGGGCGACUUCAGAAUAUCAAAUUUUUCACCAGGCCCGGUCGUCCUGCCAAAUUUCCUGAGUUUUCGCCAGUGGGAAGUGGGCCAUUUUCCAGUUUAAAGCGGAGGAAAAAUAACGAAAGAAGAAUCCAUCAGGAACAAGAGGGCUCUCGCAGCUGCUUAGCAGCUACGCUCGGGCCCUAACUAGGGCCCCGUUGGGGCACUGGCGGGCCCGAGCCGCGUCGCGCCGCCCCCAGCGCGACCGCCUCCCCGUCCCAUUCGUGCCCUCUGGCCAUCGCCCUCUCUGGUGACGCCCAUCACUGCAAAGACCCUUUUCCUUCAUCGGUGUUUGCUGUUCUUCCUGCCAUUGCGUGUUGCUUUCACUUACACUUGCCACAGCCAGCCUCGUGAGUGCCUGGCCUGGUUUGACCUUUGCUCACCAUGAUUGUGUGACCUUGGUAUCAGCUACUUGGGAAGUUCAACCGUUGUGGCAAAGCUUUGUUUGCGUGCUGUGCUCAACCACCUAUUUUCUAUGGAUGUGUAAGUAAACCACUUUCUUUCUUACACAAUGACACACUCAUACUUAUCACUCACUGCUACUGAUGUGCUCUGUUAGUAUGCAUGCAGGAAACCUGAUGAAUGAAGAAAUGCCCAGACUAGCCAACAUCUCAAUAAAUUAUGAGGUAUGACAUCACUUGAAUGGUUUCCUUGGAGUAUGCUUCCAUUAUUCUAAUUCUGUAAUAAAAAGAAAUUUUGUCCAAAAGGACUGUUGUUGUUUUUUCUUCUAAUAAUUAACAUAUUUAACAUAAUUAACAUUCAAUAUGCGCUCAUUACACACGUGCACACUCUUUGAUGAUCUGAGAAGCAGAGCUUAAAGGACAGUAGGAGUAGCUGAACAAAGUGUAUUUGUAGGAAAGCCGUAAGAGCUAUUGAAACGCCGUUUUCGCGGGUUGAAAGGUUAGGGUGUCCACCAAAGGUCAGAGGUCAGAUUACAUUUGUAUCUCAAACUGUGACGUCAAAGUCAAGGUCCAAAGAUGGUGUGCGCACCUGUCUUUGGUCAUUUCCCAUUAUAAUGAAUGGGAGGCACAGUUUCUACCAAAACACUCGCUGCAGACAAACUACAUGUCCUAUUUGAAAAAACUCUGGACCAUGAGUGAGGGCACAAACACAGCUAGGACAUAUCCAAAUGGCAAGUUGCUCCUCCUUUUGGUUUUAGCGGGAGAGCAAUGCGUUUGAGCCAUUAAGCGAUGGGCUGGAAAAACUUGACUUUUUCUCCUGCCAUGGGGGGGGGGGGGGGGCGCUCUUUUGGGGAGAAAAAAUUCCUUCACAGAUGUGUUGAUGGCUGCACAUUGCAUCAUCCUAGAAAACUUGGAGGCCAGUGAGGACAAAAAUAAAAAGUUAUAAGACUUUUAAAAAUGUGGAUAUUUGGGUCAUCUUUGGCGCCCCCUAGAACCUAAACCGUGGGGUGCAGCGUCAUGAUUUGUACAACUUUGAAUGGCCAUGGGGUGUAGAUUGGCCUGAGCAAAUUUGGUGUCAGUAGAACGAAAGCCUUAGGAGGAGUUAGCCACAUUCCAAUGUGUGCGAAUCGGCAAAAAAUGCAAGAUAGCCCUUUAACCGUACAUUUUACAGAUAUGUGCCCAUUGACUUUUUCGUAGAUCUUAUUGAGAUACACGUGUGUGUCAAAUUUUGUGUCAAUAUGACAAAGCGUAUAGGCGUGACACUGAACAAUGUGUAUUUUCACCUUAGGGGACAAGAAAAAAUGGCCUUGUUUGUCCUGCCAUGGGGGGGGCGCUGUUUUGGGGAGUAAAAAUUCCUUCACAAAUGUGUUGAUGGCUGGACAUUGCAUCAUCCUAGAAAACUUGGAGGCCAAUGAGGACAAAAAUAAAAAGUUAUAAGAUUUUUAAGAAUGUGGAUUUGUGGGUUAUCUUUGGCGCCCCCUAGAACGUAAACCGUGGGGUGCAGCGUCAUGAUUUGUACAACUUUGAAUGGCCAUGGGGUGUAGAUUGGCCUGAGCAAAUGUAGUGCCGGUGGAACGAAAGCCUUCGGAGGAGUUAGCGAAAUUCCAAUGUGUGCGGAACGGCAAAAAAUGCGAAAUAACCCUUUAACCGUACAUUUGACAGAUAUGUGCCCAUUGACUUUUUCGUAGAUCUUAUUGAGAUACACGUGUGUGUCAAAUUUUGUGUCAAUAUGACAAAGCGUAUAGGCGUGACACUGAACAAUGUGUAUUUUCACCUUAGGGGACAAGAAAAAAUGGCCUUGUUUGUCCUGCCAUGGGGGGGGGGGCGCUGUUUUGGGGAGUAAAAAUUCCUUCACAAAUGUGUUGAUGGCUGGACAUUGCAUCAUCCUAGAAAACUUGGAGGCCAAUGAGGACAAAAAUAAAGUUAUAAGAUUUUUAAGAAUGUGGAUUUGUGGGUUAUCUUUGGCGCCCCCUAGAACGUAAACCGUGGGGUGCAGCAUCAUGAUUUGUACAACUUUGAAUGGCCAUGGGGUGUAGAUUGGCCUGAGCAAAUGUAGUGCCGGUGGAACGAAAGCCUUCGGAGGAGUUAGCGAAAUUCCAAUGUGUGCGGAACGGCAAAAAAUGCGAAAUAACCCUUUAACCGUACAUUUGACAGAUACGCCCGCACUGACUUUUUUGUAGACCUUAUUGAGAUACAUGUGUGUGUCAAUUUUUGUGUCAAUAUGACAAAGCGUACAGGCGUGACAGUCAAUAGUGUGAAUUUUCACCUUAGGGGGCGCUAUGGAGCCAUUUUGCAUUUUCUUGUUUGGGCGACUUCAGAAUAUCGAAUUUUUCACCAGGCCCGGUCGUCCUGCCAAAUUUCAUGAGUUUUCGCCAGUGGGAAGUGGGCAAUUUUCCAGUUUAAAGCGGAGGAAAAAUAAUAAUAAUAACAAAAGAAGAAUCCAUCAGGAACAAGAGGGCUCUCGCAGCUGCUUAGCAGCUACGCUCGGGCCCUAACUAGGACCCCGUUGGGGCACUGGCGGGCCCGAGCCGUGUCGCCCCCCCCCCAACGUGCUGCCUCCCCGUCCCAUUUGUGUCCUCUGGCCAUCGCCCUCUCUGGUAACGCCCAUCACUGCAAAGACCCUUUUCCUUCAUCGGCGUUUGCUGUUCUUCCUGCCAGUGCGUGUUGCUUUCACUUACACUUGCCACAGCCAGCCUCGUGAGUGCCUAGCCUAUUCGAUAUCACUGUCACCUACACAGGACAGUCAUUACCUUUCUAUUAAUACUUUGUGUUUUAAUUUCACAUUAAUUUCCAUAUUGUAUAAACGACUGGAAAAAACUUGAGCCCCUGCCCCUGUAUAAUCAUGUGCAUGUCUCUGUUCUAGCUCCAAGGUGAAUCUUCACUGCUCAUGUUCUCCUCAGAAGCACUCACCUCACUCCCCUCAGGUUACUGUACACAUGCACCAACUGCCUGCUUCAGGUUUGGAUGGAGCUUCAUGGUUGUCUUUUGGAGAAAUGACCAGUCAAGUUGUGUUUGAAAUUUGAUUUUUUUCAGGGGCAAAAGGAGCCUCUGCAUUCUUGUCAAAUAUGUAAAUAGCAUGUUUUUGCAGGUGCUAAAAACCAGACUCUGAGUGUGUGUGUGUGUGUGUGUGUGUGUGUGUGUGUGUGUGUGCGUGUGUGUGUGUCUGUGUGUGCGUUCAAGUCACAUGACAUAUUUAACCGGAUGUAGCUGCAAGACGGAGCCUCGUUGACUCUCCGUUUCAACUUAUUUCAAAAGUGAGGACCUCAACCUAUAUACCAGUUUUUAAAUUGUGUUGAUAGGCCAAAUAAAACCAGAGUUAUGAUAAAUUAUGUCCGCGAUACUUUUUUUCUGCUUAUUUUGAUCACGUUCGGCGCUCGAUCGCGCUGUAUGAGACAGGAAAACAUAGCAUGCAGACAUUAGCGACAGGUCUUACAGGCGGAAAAGGCUUGCCAAAAGAAAAAAAAAACACACCACAACAUCUCUCCUAUUGGUGGAAAACUUCACCACAACAACCAAUCCAAAAUUAUAUGGUGACUGAUUGACAAGGGGCGGGCGCUUACGUUCUUCCUGCAACAUGAGAAGGGAGGGAGGGACUCUCAGCAGGGAUGCAGUCUGGGACACGUAGUUGCAAACCUAGCGACUUUGUUGUUAGAUUCAAUGACUUUUCAGACCCCCUAACGACUUUUUUUUAGAAAGAAAGGGACUUUUAUCGACUUCUUCUGGAGUUUAGAGACUCUGACAUGAAGCAGGCUUUCCUUACUGAGGAGUUAGCAACGCUGCUAAGGGUGCAGAGCCACACAUGCGCUCAGAGCUCUGCAUGGGAGACUGAAGCUGACAGAGCUGCAGCAGUUAGCAGGUUUCACCCUCAGAGACCACCAGGGGUUCAUGUUGAGGCAUUUUAAUUUUUUUUUUUUGUGCCAUAGACACUGUCAGCACAAUCUGCAGUUACACUAACAAAAAUGCUGCAAAAAACAAAGAAUUAUGGAAAAAUUACACAUGGACUGACAUAGAGGAGGAUCUACACAAGUUUUUUACAUCAUGUUUUACAUCAUGCAUCAUUUACAUCAUGUUUUUUUGUAGUGGCAUAAAUAAAAAGUGACAUUUGUGAGACUAUACAGUGUUUUGUAAAUAAUUUUACAAAGAACGCCUGGGCCAUUGCCUGCAUUUUGAUGUAAAUAGAGGUAAAUCACUAUGUUCUUUGUUAAAAAUUUGCAUAUGUUUUGAAGUUUACAAUUUUUAUUUGAAGUUUAAGUUUUGAAAACAGUUCAUCACACAUAUUUGUGGUUUUCACAGUAAAAAUGUUACUUUUUUCCACUCGGAUUUUAUGUUUUGUGUGUGAAUUUGGGUCCAUUGUGUAAAUUCAGUAUGUCAACAUGAUAAAAUAACUGUAAAUUCGCACAGGUGAGGUUGUGCUGAAAAAAAUGAUACCAGGCAAGGCACGUGAUUGUCAAAUUUUGUGUCAAUAUGACAAAGCGUAUAGGCGUGAAUCUCAACAAUAUGUAUUUUCACCUUAAGGGACAAGAAAAAAUGGACUUUUUUCUCCUGCCAUGGGGGGGCGCUCUUUUGGGGAGUAAAAAUUCCUUCACAAAUGUGUUGAUGGCUGGACAUUGCAUCAUCCUAGAAAACUUGGAGGCCAGUGAGGACAAAAAUAAAAAGUUAUAAGACUUUUAAAUAUGUGGAUUUUAGGGUUAUCUUUGGCGCCCCCUAGAACCUAAACCGUGGGGUGCAGCGUCAUGAUUUUGAUAAAUUUUAAUGGCCAUGGGGUGUAGAUUGGCCUGAGCAAAUGUGGUGCCGGUGGAACGAAAGCCUUAGGAGGAGUUAGCCACAUUCCAAUGUGUGCGAAUCGGCAAAAAAUGCGGAAUAACCCUUUAACCGUACAUUUGACAGAUACGCGCGCAUUGACUUUUUCGUAGAUCUUAUUGAGAUACAUGUGUGUGUCAAUUUUUGUGUCAAUUUGACAAAGCGUAUAGGCGUGACACUCAACAAUGUGUAUUUUCACCUUAGGGGACAAGAAAAAAUGGACUUUUUUCUCCUGCCAUGGGGGGGCGCUCUUUUGGGGAGUAAAAAUUCCUUCACAAAUGUGUUGAUGGCUGGACAUUGCAUCAUCCUAGAAAACUUGGAGGCCAGUGAGGACAAAAAUAAAAAGUUAUAAGACUUUUAAAUAUGUGGAUUUUAGUGUUAUCUUUGGCGCCCCCUAGAACCUAAACCUUGGGGUGCAGCGUCAUGAUUUUGAUAACUUUUAAUGGCCACGGGGUGUAGAUUGGCCUGAGCAAAUGUGGUGCCGGUGGAACGAAAGCCUUCGGAGGAGUUAGCGAAAUUCCAAUGUGUGCGGAUCGGAAAAAAAUGCGAAAUAACCCUUUAACCGUACAUUUGACAGAUACGGCCGCACUGACUUUUUUGUAGAUCUUAUUGAGAUACAUAUGUGUGUCAAUUUUUGUGUCAAUAUGACAAAGCGUACAGGCGUGACAGUCAAUAGUGUGAAUUUCCACCUUAGGGGGCGCUAUGGAGCCAUUUUGCAUUUUAUUGUUUGGGCGACUUCAGAAUAUCGAAUUUUUCACCAGGCCCGGUCGUCCUGCCAAAUUUCAUGAGUUUUCGCCAGUGGGAAGUGGGCCAUUUUCCAGUUCAAAGGGGAGGAAAAAGAAGAAAGAAAGAAAGAACUAGGGCCCCGGUGGGGCACUGUCGGGCCCGAGCCGCGUCGCGCCGCCCCCAGCGCGACCGCCUCCCCCUCCCGAUCGCGUCACACUCAAGGUCCAAAGAUGGUGUGCGCACUUGUCUGUGGUCAUUUCCCAUUAUAAUGAAUGGGAGGCGCAGUUUCUACCAAAACACUCGCUGCAGACAAACUACAUGUCCUAUUUGAAAAAAGUCUGGACCAUGAGUGAGGGCACAAACACAGCUAGGAUAUAUCCAAAUGGCAAGUUGCUCCUCCUUACGGUGUUGCUGGGAGAGCGAUGCGAUUGAGCCAUUGACCGAUGGGCAGGGUUAACUUGACUUUUUCUCCUGCCUUGGGGGGGGGGCGAUGUGGAUUCUUUUAAGAAUGUGGAUAUUUGGGUCAUCUUUGGCGCCCCCUAGAACGUAAACCGUGGGGAGCAGCGUCAUGAUUUCUACAACUUUGAAUGGCCAUGGGAUGUAGAUCGGCUUGAGCAAAUUUGGUGUUGGUGGGACGAAAGCCUUAGGAGGAGUUAGCCACAUUCCAAUGUGUGCUAAUCGGCAAAAAAUGCAAAAUAGCCCUUUAACCGUACAUUUUACAGAUACGCGCGCAUUGACUUUUUCGUAGAUCUUAUUGAGAUACAUGUGUGUGUCAAAUUUUGUGUCAAUAUGACAAAGCAUACAGGUAUGACAGUCAACAAUGUGUAUUUUCACCUUAUGGGACAAGAAAAAAUGGACUUUUUUCUCCUGCCAUGGGGGGGCGCUCUUUUGGGGAGUAAAAAUUCCUUCACAAAUGUGUUGAUGGCUGGACAUUGCAUCAUCCUAGAAAACUUGGAGGCCAGAGAGGACAAAAAUAAAAAGUUAUAAGACUUUUAAAUAUGUGGAUUUUAGGGUUAUCUUUGGCGCCCCCUAGAACCUAAACCGUGGGGUGCAGCGUCAUGAUUUGAAUAACUUUUAAUGGCCAUGGGGUGUAGAUUGGCCUGAGCAAAUGUGGUGCCGGUGGAACGAAAGCCUUCGGAGGAGUUAGCGAAAUUCCAAUGUGUGCGGAUCGGCAAAAAAUGCGCAAUAACCCUUUAACCGUACAUUUGACAGAUACGCCCGCACUGACUUUUUUGUAGAUCUUAUUGAGAUACAUGUGUGUGUCAAUUUUUGUGUAAUUUUGACAAAGCGUACAGGCGUGACAGUCAAUAGUGUGAAUUUUCACCUUAUGGGACAAGAAAAAAUGGACUUUUUUCUCCUGCCAUGGGGGGGCGCUCUUUUGGGGAGUAAAAAUUCCUUCACAAAUGUGUUGAUGGCUGGACAUUGCAUCAUCCUAGAAAACUUGGAGGCCAGUGAGGGCAAAAAUAAAAAGUUAUAAGACUUUUAAAUAUGUGGAUUUUAGGGUUAUCUUUGGCGCCCCCUAGAACCUAAACCGUGGGGUGCAGCGUCAUGAUUUGAAUAACUUUUAAUGGCCAUGGGGUGUAGAUUGGCCUGAGCAAAUGUGGUGCCGGUGGAACGAAAGCCUUCGGAGGAGUUAGCGAAAUUCCAAUGUGUGCGGAUCGGCAAAAAAUGCGCAAUAACCCUUUAACCGUACAUUUGACAGAUACGCCUGCACUGACUUUUUUGUAGAUCUUAUUGAGAUACAUGUGUGUGUCAAUUUUUGUGUAAUUUUGACAAAGCGUACAGGCGUCAGGUGAAUUUUUCACCUUAGGGGGCGCUAUGGAGCCAUUUUGCAUUGUAUUGUUUGGGCGACUUCAGAAUAUCGAAUUUUUCACCAGGCCCGGUCGUCCUGCCAAAUUUCCUGAGUUUUCGCCAGUGGGAAGUGGGCCAUUUUCCAGUUUAAAGGGGAGGAAAAAUAACUAGGGCCCCGGUGGGGCACUGUCGGGCCCGAGCCGCGUCGCGCCGCCCCCAGCGCGACCGCCUCCCCCUCCCGAUCGCGUCACACUCAAGGUCCAAAGAUGGUGUGCGCACUUGUCUGUGGUCAUUUAUCAUUAUAAUGAAUGGGAGGCGCAGUUUCUACCAAAACACUCACUGCAGACAAACUACAUGUCCUAUUUGAAAAAAGUCUGGACCAUGAGUGAGGGCACAAACACAGCUAGGAUAUAUCCAAAUGGCAGGUUGCUCCUCCUCCUUUUUCGUAGAUCUUAUUGAGAUACAUGUGUGUGUCAAUUUUUGUGUCAUUUUGACAAAGCGUACAGGUGUCACACUCAACAAUGUGAAUUUUCACCUUAGGGGACAAGAAAAAAAUGACUUUUUUCUCCUGCCAUGGGGGGGCGCUCUUUUGGGGAGUAAAAAUUCCUUCACAAAUGUGUUGAUGGCUGGACAUUGCAUCAUCCUAGAAAACUUGGAGGCCAGUGAGGACAAAAAUAAAAAGUUAUAAGACUUUUAAAUAUGUGGAUUUUAGGGUUAUAUUUGGCGCCCCCUAGAACCUAGACCGUGGGGUGCAGCAUCAUAAUUUGAAUAACUUUUAAUGGCCAUGGGGUGUAGAUUGGCCUGAGCAAAUGUGGUGCCGGUGGAACGAAAGCCUUCGGAGGAGUUAGCGAAAUUCCAAUGUGUGCGUAUUGGCCAAAAAAUGCGGAAUAACCCUUUAACCGUACAUUUGACAGAUACGCGCGCAUAGACUUUUUUGUAGAUCUUAUUGAGAUACAUGUGUGUGUCAAUUUUUGUGUCAUUUUGCCAAAGCAUACAGGCGUGACACUCAACAAUGUGUAUUUUCACCUUAGGGGACAAGAAAAAAUGGACUUUUUUCUCCUGCCAUGGGGGGGCGCUCUUUUGGGGAGUAAAAAUUCCUUCACAAAUGUGUUGAUGGCUGGACAUUGCAUCAUCCUAGAAAACUUGGAGGCCAGUGAGGACAAAAAUAAAAAGUUAUAAGACUUUUAAAUAUGUGGAUUUUAGGGUUAUUUUUGGCGCCCCCUAGAACCUAAACCGUGGGGUGCAGCUUCAUGAUUUGAAUAACUUUUAAUGGCCAUGGGGUGUAGAUUGGCCUGAGCAAAUGUGGUGCCGGUGGAACGAAAGCCUUCGGAGGAGUUAGCCACAUUCCAAUGUGUGCGGAUCGGCAAAAAAUGCGGAAUAACCCUUUAACCGUACAUUUGACAGAUACGCGCGCAUUGACUUUUUCGUAGAUCUUAUUGAGUUACAUGUGUGUGUCAAUUUUUGUGUCAUUUUGACAAAGCGUAUAGGCGUGACACUCAACAAUGUGUAUUUUCACCUUAGGGGACAAGAAAAAAUGGACUUUUUUCUUCUGCCAUGGGGGGGCGCUCUUUUGGGGAGUAAAAAUUCCUUCACAAAUGUGUUGAUGGCUGGACAUUGCAUCAUCCUAGAAAACUUGGAGGCCAGUGAGGACAAAAAUAAAAAGUUAUAAGACUUUUAAAUAUGUGGAUUUUAGUGUUAUCUUUGGCGCCCCCUAGGACCUAAACCUUGGGGUGCAGCGUCAUGAUUUUGAUAACUUUUAAUGGCCACGGGGUGUAGAUUGGCCUGAGCAAAUGUGGUGCCGGUGGAACGAAAGCCUUCGGAGGAGUUAGCGAAAUUCCAAUGUGUGCGGAUCUGCAAAAAAUGCGAAAUAACCCUUUAACCGUAAUUUUGACAGAUACGGCUGCACUGACUUUUUUGUAGAUCUUAUUGAGAUACAUAUGUGUGUCAAUUUUUGUGUCAAUAUGACAAAGCGUACAGGCGUGACAGUCAAUAGUGUGAAUUUCCACCUUAGGGGGCGCUAUGGAGCCAUUUUGCAUUUUAUUGUUUGGGCGACUUCAGAAUAUCGAAUUUUUCACCAGGCCCGGUCGUCCUGCCAAAUUUCAUGAGUUUUCGCCAGUGGGAAGUGGGCCAUUUUCCAGUUCAAAGGGGAGGAAAAAGAAGAAAGAAAGAAAGAACUAGGGCCCCGUUGGGGCACUGGCGGGCCCGAGCCGUGUCACGCCGCCCCAAGCGCGACCGCCUCCCCCACCCGAUCGCGUCACACUCAAGGUCCAAAGAUGGUGUGCGCACUUGUUUGUGGUCAUUUACCAUUAUAAUGAACGGGAGGCGCAGUUUCUACCAAAACGUUCGCUGCAGAAAAACUCCAUGUCCUAUUUGAAAAAAGUCUGGACCAUGAGUGAGGGCACAAACACAGCUAAGAUAUAUCCAAAUGGCAAGUUGCUCCUCCUUUCGCUUUUGCCGAGAGAGCAGUGCGUUUGAGCCAUUGAAUGAUGAACAGGAAAAACUUGACUUUAUUCUCCUGCCAUGGGGGGGGGCGCUCUUUUAACGAGAAAAAACUCCUUCACAAAUGUGUUGAUGGCUGGACAUUGCAUCAUCCUAGAAAACAUGGAGGCCAGUGAGGACAAAAAUAAAAAGUUAUAAGACUUUUAAAUAUGUGGAUUUUAGGGUUAUCUUUGGCGCCCCCUAGAACCUAAACCGUGGGGUGCAGCGUCAUGAUUUGAAUAACUUUUAAUGGCCAUGGGGUGUAGAUUGGCCUGAGCAAAUGUGGUGCCGGUGGAACGAAAGCCUUCGGAGGAGUUAGCGAAAUUCC
Xyrichtys novacula (pearly razorfish) is the source of this 71054-nucleotide non-coding RNA. NCBI's taxonomy places the organism in Eukaryota, Metazoa, Chordata, Actinopteri, Labriformes, Labridae. The record is from the annotation of a GenBank genome assembly.